UGGGGGUACGUCUCCUCUGGGUGUGCUAGCACCACUGGACAUUCCAUCGUCCCUAUGGUCAGAGAGGGCAGCAUCAGAGAAUCCAUGAUCAGAAUGAUGACUAUCUCCACUUCCACCUUCGCGAUCCAUGAAAUUAUCCCCUGUCCGAAUCCUCGACUUAACUUUGUUGCUCACCUUGGUGGCCUGCUUUUAAUAGUUCCACAAUCAAAAUAUGCCAAUCUAAAGCAAAAAGUGCAAAAACCAAAAGCAAAACUAACCAAAUUUGAUAUCUUUGAAGCAAUUGUAGCUUGCAGAGGCUGCUGAGAAUCAAGCCCAAGUUUAGCUGUAACAGUAUUCCUAGGCCUGUUAAUGUUGGAAUCAGUAUCCGAAUUCUUAGUAUCCCACAAUGCAGCUCUUGUUUCUUGAAACGGCCGAGAAUCAGUAGACACACAAACGAUCCCAACCAAAGUACCAUCAUCAUCAUAGAAUGGGGUAUUAGUUGCCACAACUAAAACCCUUUCCUCCGUUUUAGUCUUUGCCGGAAACUGCCCUGUCCACCUCUCUCCCAUCUUUAUACGAUGAACUAUAUCGUAGGCCACAUCAAAGUCCCGACCAUCAGUUAAAAGUUCAAUAGCAUCCUGACCAAGUGCCUCCUCAGCUGAGUAACCAUAAAGCAAUUCCGCUGACCGGUUCCUGCAUAAGCAAGCAUUCGCAAAUAAAAUACCCCUAACUUCAAAUUAAUACUUAAAAACACAUUUUCAUCUAUUCUUUAAUUUAAUCACAACCUCACUUCAUCAAAGCCAAUUAUAAUAGUUAUACUCACCAAUAAAUAAUACGAUCGCUAAGAUCAAAUAUAUGAACAGAUUGCCCCAUAGAUUGCAAAAUAUUCAAAUACUGCCUAUCAGUAAAGUUAAAAGCCGAUGGUCCACUGUUACUAUUUCCAGCAGCAUCACUACCACCACUAUCGCCGCCUUUGCUUUCGCGUUGCAACGGCGAGGAAUGUCUAAACGACGCCGAAUUGCUAGCCUUCCACGCUGAAGCAGCGUCCGGUCCCGUCCCGCCCCCUUUUCUCCUGGAAGCGGGCCCCGCCAACCUCGGCCGCCUCGGCGACACCGAAUGCGACCUCUGUUGGUGGUGAGUCGUAGUAGUAGUAGUAGUAAUAGUUUCCGAUUUCGGAUCGUUUGAGAUUUUCAACUUGGACAGCUCUUGCUUCAAGUGCUCUUGUCCAGCUUCUAGCUCUUGAAUCUUUCUUAGGAGCUCUUCAGCUGGCCCCGUGUUUGCGUCCAUUACAAGUCAAAAACAAAUACAAAACAAAUAUGUAUAAAGUUUCAAAGAUUCAAGAAACUUACGACUCCGAAGUCCAAACAAAACGAAGCUUUGUUUGUACAAGGAGAAAUGAAAAAUCAGUAUUCAUUUACUGAAUUUUUUUAUUUUAAUUUUCAUAUAUGUCUUGAAAACACUCUCUAGAAACUCCUCUUAUCUAAUUUGUGCAGUCAAUUCAUUGCAAUGAAAAUGAAUGAAGAAGAAAACAAGAAGCUCUCUCUCUCUCUCUCUCUUUUAUUUGGGGCUAAUUUUUAUUUUUUAAAUAUAUCUCUUUUUCAACUCCUUCCUUUUCCUUUCUUUUUAGGUCUUCAUUUCAUUUUGUUUAUUCUGCCUUCCUUUCUUUCUUUCUUCAACUUUCUCUCUCUUGUUUUGGGCGGUUUGGUUUUGUUUUUAUAUUGAGAAUAAUAACAAUGGGAUUCCUAGUUCUUUAUAUUUUCAAAAUUAAUGUUAUUGUUUAUCCAUUUCUACCAACUAGGUUCCUAACCCCACCACCAUCGCAAUUAACAUAUAAUAUUAGAUUUUUAGAAGAAUAGUCAAAAUUCAGUUUACUUCAAUUUUUGUGGUAAUGGAGUAAAGAUGAAAAUUACUAAUUUUUUAUACUUUUGAUUUAUGUGUUGAUUUUUCUUUUUCUUUUUCUUUUUUUACAAUGAAUUAAAAUCGAACUGAAUUGAUCAGUCCGUUCAAUUUAAUUCAAUUAUGUUAUUUUUUUAUCCACUUUUAAUUAUGGUCUUCUCAAAAAAUAAGAGUACAUGAAUGGUAACAAAUUAGUUCAGGCCAAAAAAAAAAAUAAAAAAUAAAAAAGUUUGAUUUGAUUUUUCUAAUUUUGAUGAUGUUAAAAGAAAAUAUAAUUUAAAUCCAAACAAGAUAGGGCUCACUGAGAAUGAACAUUAAUUAUAAAAAUGAUAAAAUUAAUCAUAAUUAUUAUAAUAAGUGGGAUUCAAAAAAUAAGUAAUUUGAUAAAAAUAAAAAAUUCAAUAGAUUUUGGAGGAUAUAAAAAUAAGUUCGAAUUAAUAAUGAGAUUAUUUGUGAUUCCCGGAAAUUUGGAUUUAUUUUUGCACAAAUGAACAAACUAUGUAAUCUUUUGUGAAAACAUAGAAAAGCAGGGGGAUCCUGGUGUUAUUACUCCUUUGUGUUUUAUUGAAUUUCACCUUUUAUUUUCUUUUUGUUUCUCUCUCAUCUAUCUCUCCAUUAUCAUUUGACUCCAACUAUUUAUUAGACCAGAGCCGGAUGUUUAUUUAUUCUACAGACCAAGCCGCUCUUUCCACGCGCCAAAAAAUCACGUGGAAAGUCAUGGCCUAUCGCGGUGCCUGAUUUUUAACUACUGGUCCAAUACUCUUGGCGCGUUUAGUACAAUCAAGAUUGGGAAUAUGUUGAAACUUAUUCGACUUUUAAUAUUAUGGCUUCUCCUUUUCAGCCAAAAGGCCUCCAUAUUGGGCUGCCCUAAAAGCGUAUAUUUUCACUUCUGUUUCCGAUACUUCCACGACACCCAUCUUUUGUGAGUUCAUGCAGAGUCAUUUAGAUAAUAAUAAUAUUAUUAUUACUUUUAAUAAUGGGUUUAAUAUAAUACCCAAAUUGAGGUUAGCUUCAUUCUUGGAUUACCUAAACAGCAAUUGCACAUUCAUUGGACUGACUUGGAUUUCACAACACAAUGAACUCACACCAUUGUUGAAAUAAAUUAAUGUCAAUUGUUACCUAGUAAAAAAAGUACUUCCCCGAUUAAUUAGCUAAAUUCAACUAGUAAAAUUUCAUUGAGUACUACAAAGGAAAAAAAAAACUCGAUUUGAGAUAAAUUUAUAAAGGAAUAACUAAAUUCAACCUGAUAAAUUCAAAAAAUCAUGAAUUAAAUCGUUAAUUUUUUAAUUUUAUUUGCAAAAGAGUCAAGAAUCGAUUGAUCAAUUUUUACAUGAUUAGUUGUGAAAUAUAUGUGAAAAUAAUCUAACGGAUAAAAAAAACGUACACUAAAAGACCUAAAACUCUCCCCUCUCCUAGUAGGUCAAAACAUUUCAAAUCGAAUUCCACUCGAACAAAGAAAAAAGAGACCUUAAACUAAUGCAAACGGGUACAAUUAGAAAAUGUAGUUUUGUUGUAUAGAGCGGCUUAAGAAGAGAAAAAUUAAGUUUGCUUUUGGGCAAGUCGAUCUUGAAAAAUGGGUCCGACUACGGUAUAAUAGUGGUACCAUACUACUAUUGUAUUCAGUCAUUAAAUUUAAUUAAAUAAAUAAAUCUAUUGAGAUUUAAUUAAAUAAAUGAAUCUAUUGAGAUUCAAUGGUGCACCGUAAAAAAGUUUUCUGCUCAAAGAAUUAUGCUUGAAAAGGAGAAGAAUCUUUAUGGCAACACUUUUUAAUUAUUAAUAUGUCUAAUAAAUAAGUCUCCAAGUCGUCAAAUUUCAAUUCAUUCAAUCUGAACUUCCUGCAAGAGAAAGCAAGCAGGAAUUAUAGCUCUGACUUUUUCCUUUUUUUUUUUCCAGACCCAUAUACAAUGUAGCGAUUUCCGUGUCCUCUUUCUUUAUCUUGGUCUUAUCUUAUCAAUUUUUUUUUUUUGGGAACUUGGAAACGAGUGUCACUCUAGAAACUUGUUUUUUUUUUUUUUCUUUUUUAGGUGUUUAAAUCUUUGUUUGCGUGCACAGCAUCAUUAAGCUCAGGGGGGCGCACGCACACAAAUUUAGUGUGACAAGAGACAGAGGCCCAGUUUAAUUUAUGGCUGUCAAAAAGUUUUCUAAAAAAUGGAAACUUCCAAAGCGUUUAUUGCGAUGCAUGCCAUCUGCCCAUCUCGUUAUCUUCUUCAUGCGUGACCCAUAAAUUUGGAGAUAAUGUUGUAAAACUCAACAUUCUAUUACAACUUUGAAUCGAUUGACCUUUUUCAAGUUCUGCCUCAUCACUAAUCAGACAGCAAAUGCCUCUGGCUUUUUCAUUUUUGGAACCUGUUUGGUAGGCUGCUUACAUAAGAUUUUACAUUGAAUCUCGCCUUGGAAUUAGGUGAGCGAACCAUUUUGUUUUGGAAAAUUAAGUCUAUAUAAACUUAUCAAGUUGUGUUUCUCAUUUGUUAAAGAUAUUCUUAUUUUUGCCUGCAAAUGGUCAUCUGGGUCAUUAUACGGGUGGGCAUUCGCGUUUUGGUUGGUCCUAAUUGUUAGCAAAGCUCAUGAACUUAUCCAUAUUCUUCUUCUUAUCUUCUGAGUUGCCCUAUUUAUAUGGAACGUACAAAUUCCACCACGUGAGCAAGAGAAUUUACAUUAUCGAACAUGAGAUAAAGUUCUAGCAUUCAGGGAGUAACACCGGACGAUAUGUUACAAUUAUCAUGGGAGCUUGAUAUGGUACACAUGUAAUAUAAUCUAGAAUACAUGCUUACAACAGGGGAAACAAGUAAUUUAAUCCGCCAGUCCGCCAUGACUUUUUGUUGUGAAACCUCUACAACCUACAAGACUACAACAAUCUCAAGUGAACCCAGUCAUCUGAAUCCUUGAUACGUGAGGCCGCACAACAUUCAUGAGAUCUGGAAGCUUCAUGUGCAAGGAUGUUGAUAACAUUACAGAGCUGGGUAACCAAAAGUUCAUAGGAUUAUUAAUGCCCAUUGGCCAAAUCUACCUGGGUUAUGCAUUACAUCUUCAAAACUAUAUGGAGGAUUAGGCACCUGACGUUAAGUCCGAGAAAGGUCCUGAUUUUGUGCAUCUCAAGUGGGAAUAAUCUAGUCAGUGAUACUCUUUGAGCCUCUCCGAGGCAUGGGAAGUUCAAAAAUAAUUAAGAAAUAGCAUCUUUCGGACUCUCUGAUAUAUUGGACUUCACCAUUCAUUAGCUUCAGAAUCUUCCGGCACAUGCUCAGCCCUAAGCCCUCCUGUGUCAUCCACCGACUGCUAUGGAACAUGUCUUGCACCAGCUCAGGAGGAAGCCCUUCACCAGGGCAUACCAUCCUUUGUAAAGUGCAUUUAUGUUAGUUGACUCAAAGGGCAUCAAGAGGAUUUACAUUUAAAACAAUACUGAACAUAAACAAAUAUCCUCACACUGUCACAAUUCGUGAUUUAUACUUUGCAGUAUACAAUGUCUUCUUACGGACAAAACCAAGAAACAAAAUAUCCUAAUCCAAUAUCAUAGCACAAAACUUAGUCAAGGAAACAGAAAGUAACAAAAGGUUUCUUUACUACACAAUCAACUCUGCACUGAGAGCUACCAAAAGUGAAGGUUGUUUAGUUGCUAUAGCAUGAAAUUUCUACAUAAUAAUUCCAUUAGAGAUUGUUGCAGAACUAAAGGCCGCAGCUGGCAGGUCCAGUCAGACUUGAGAACAAAAUUAUUUAGAUACUGAAAUUUCAAUAUACCAAAGUCAAAGCUCGUGAGUCAAAGUUCAAUCAGUCAACUACCUACUUACCCAAAAAACCAAUGUCCCAACUGUGGCAACUCGAUGCUGCUUAUAAAAUGACAAAAGCUAAAAAGCAAGAUGCAAGAGAAACGCAGCUAUAAUUUCAAAUAUUGCUUGAGUCACCAGGCUUGAAGCAGGCUCAGAAGCCACAAAGAAGUCAAUGAAAUAGAAUGCCCAGGGACCUUAACACUUCAUCUGACAAUUAAGGCUACCUCAAACACACCCAAAAGAAACAAAAAUAAUGAUGUGCAGCCACAAAUCUCCAGUUCAGAUGUUCGCAGGUGGCAGGCCAACCAUGUGGGCCAAAGCAAGGUUAUUUACAAUGCCUAUGAACUUCUACCAAAGUGCAUGUUGCAUAGCCAUAUUGCCCUAAAGCAAAUUAUGAUUUAUACUUGCUAUUAUAUAUAUAUAUAUGACUGAAAAUAUAGAGUUGGUAACUUGAUAAAUUAUCUAGCACAAACAAAAAACUUAACAAAGAUAGAGCAAGACAAAUGAUUCGGUCCAAGUUACAUAGAGAGUCAAGCACUUAAACAAGACUCAUACCCGUGAAAUUAGUGCCAAUAUGUAGUAUGUAUACUGACAAGAUUGGUUCCCAAAUUCACAAGUAUUACUCUUGUGAAUGAUGGAGAUAAAAUACUUCAAAGGAAAUCAUAUCGGAGAACAUUUAUAUAGCCACAGCCAUCACAGUUUCUUACUAUGAAAGUACUAGGAAAGUGUUAUUAAGGUCAUUAGAGUUAAAUGUGAGUGGAGUUACUAAGGCCUUAUUCUUUUUGCUUUCAAUCAAUGACAUGGACCUUUCCACAUGUUAUUAGAAUAACCAAUAAGUAUGAUAUUGAAAUGAGGAUGGGGCAAACAAACCUGAAUUCAUUAUGUACAAUGGUUUGUCCCUCAGAACUUUGCUUCAAUGUUGGACGAACAUGGAUCUCUACCCAACCCUCUGCUGAUGGUGAAUAACGUACCAUAUUCAACAAAAAGUCAGCCAAGACCUGCUGAAUUCUUGCCUGAUCACCAUAAACAGCUAGUGUCUUGAUUUCCUCUGGGAUAUCUCGAAUCAACUGAAGAUUUCUUUCCCUCAGCAACAUCAUCACUUGGCUAACAACAGCAUUUAUGACACUCCCGAGUAAAAAUUCAGCCUUCUCAAACUCCAAUGAACUGACUCCAAAAGUAAAUAAAAAAUGAGAUCAUCUUUCUCAUUAGCAAAAUUUUUCAGGAGGUUCAGAUGAUUAGUAGAAGAAUACACUAGAUUAUAAUAGUUUAGAAAUAAAUAAAAACAGAAGAUCACUAGCAAUAUGAAAAGAAAACAAAAGUCACAAGGAUGAUUAAUCAGUUCUACACUGGAAGAAUGUGGCUGAAAUCCUAAAACCACGACACCCUUAUAUGACAUGGCUUACAAUAAUUGAGUUCUUGUUAACUCUAGUUUCCUACUUGGUAUAACUAGGACAGUCUUCUAGCUACUCUUUCAUUGUAAACGAAGCUUUUGUACAAUACAGAAAGAAAGAAAAGCAAGAACUAUCAACAAACAAAUGAAGAUAAUUUGAAAGCAGCAACACUCAAACAUGUAUAUUUACACGAAAUUAAAACACUUGUUCCUGCAUCACAAUAGAUGUGAUGAGGGUUUUCCAUCAUGAUCAAAGUUAAGACUGUUCACAAGGUGAAAAAAGACUCACCCAUCUUCAAUGCUUUCUAGGUCCACAUCCUUUAUGAUCUUCAACAUCUGCUUCUCACAGGCAGCACUUGUCUCAAGUAACUGUUUCUGAUCUUCUGUCAAGUCAGUGGCCUCCAAGAGUGAGUUAGUAAAGCUCACACCACUCAAUGGAUUCUUUAUUUCCUGGCAAAUGUAAGCCAACUCUUUCAACCUAGCAAAGCACUUCUUUUCCUGUUGCCUCUGAACUGUAAGAGCUUGCUGCAACUCUGGACUAGCAAUUUGCAAGAAGCAGAAAGCUCCUACAAUCUGCCCUUCCAUAUUUACCCUUUUGUUGGCAGUCAAAAGUGCUUGCACAUAUUUUCCAUUCCGGUCAAACAAGGGAAAAGGAAACUUCUCCGUGUCCUGCCCUCCAAAUGCAUUGUGCAAGGCAAUCAUAAAUUUUGUCAAAGCAUCAGGACCCUUGAGACGACAGCAACUUCCGAAAACCUCCCCAACUAACAUCUUCCCAAUAAUAUCUCCUCGACUCCACCCAGUGAGCUUCUCCAUGGCAGUGUUCCACUCCGAGCAACAAGUGUUUUCAUCUGAAGCAAAUAUGGGAGGGAUCAAAGGAUUGGGACUGUGAACAAUGGCCUUGUAAUCACCUUGUAUGUGAAUAAAUUUGUCCAUCACCAAUUUCUGAUCGGUAACAUCCUGACCCACAAAGCAAACUCCAACAAUAUUAUUUGUGUAAUCCUUGCUGGAGCAAGCAUUGACCACCACAAAGACCGCCUUCUUACGAUUUUCUGCACCAAAUGUCCUCAAUUUUAUCUCUACAUUCUUGUCUUCCUCACCUGCACAAGUGAACUUGAGUCAUUUACACUAGUAAAAGCAGUUUCAGAAGCCGACAAUAAGUAUUCUCUUUCAAAUGCUAAUUAAUUAAUCACCAGCCGAUGAGAAGUGUGUGACUGUUACCUUCCAACUUAUGAAUGAGGAGACUCUCACUUUAGACGUAUAUUUCUCAUGUAGAAAACUACUGGGGCAACACAGCCAUGUUCCAGCUAAUUAUUUCAAGGUGGCUGAGUUAGGCUCCUCAUACCAAUCUCAACACUCACCCCACAUUCCUGGUUGAACACUGAAUAAAUUGACCAGUGCCAAUGUACAUAUAUGGAACCACAUAAUGACUUCAAUCAGGUUUGAGACUCUAUUUUACAUCUUUCCCAUCUCAAGCGUCUAAAAUGAACUUUACCAUUUCAUAGCAUGUGCGGACACUAUUUAAGUACAGUCAAUCAAAAGGCACUCAGAGAACACAUGCAAAUUAAAUCAGUGAAACAUGAUUUAUAUUGCAUAUUAGCUACCCAAUUUUCACCCUCAAUAGCAUUGGAGAGCAAAAAUUGACCUGCUUUAAGUUUCCAUUUGUCAUUUCUGUAAACGAUUUUGGCAACACCCAUUUUCAUUUUGGAAAGGUUUCAUUUCUGAUAUGCACACUCAACUGACAAGGAAAAUGGAAUAGAAAUUAUACAUACCUACAAGAUGUCAAAACAUACUUGGAAAAUGCUCUGAAUUAGCACAAGUUAAGAUGCUGGAUAAAGGACUACCUUUUAAAGCAUGAUGAAGAAGAUUGUCAACGAUUUCUUCAUAUUCCUUAUAAACAAGAUCAUGAACCAAGGACUUCCCCAUAGCUUCCUCAACUGACAGCCCAGUCAACUCUGCAACUUUUGCAUUCCACCCAUUGACACGGCCAUGAACAUCAACAGCAAAUAUGGGGGCAGUUGCAGUCUCUAUUAAUCUUACCAUUUCCCUGGCAACUGAACUGAGCUCAUCCACCCCUUGCAACUCUAGAUCUACAAGCUGGGCAUUUACAACAGCCUUAGAAUUGCUUGCUUCAGCGUCCCUAAAUGAGUCUCGCAGAAUCAGCUGCAAAGAAUGAAUUGCAUCCAUUUCUGCAUUAUCCCAUGGCAAACUGCGGCUCUUCACCACUUCCAGAAAUGCCUUGAAUGAAGAACGUGGAUGCAUCCUUUGCCCAUCAUCCUUGUCCUCUGGGUGAUGUUUUGCACCACCCCAUUUGAUCUCCUUUGCUGUGUGGGACCGGAACCAGAAUAGAAAAUCCCUUUUAGUGAUGUAGGCAACAGCCAUUCCACAAACUGCAUCACCAAGUGUGGCUGCCUUAGGGUACCCAGCAUCAGCCAAACUGUCUGUGCUUAAACCAGUUGAGUCUCCAUGGUAAGUCAGCAGCCAUUCCACUAUAUCCUUUAUCUGGGUUUCAGUUGGGGUUACACCAAGUGGGUAAUAUUUUCCUUGGUAGUACAGUGCUGCCCCAUCACACUUCACAAGGUCCAUAAUACUAGGGCUCUGAGUAACAAUUCCAGCAGGAGAGUCACGAAGAAGCAUAUCACACAAAAGAGUCUGGGUCCUCAGAACAUGCUUCUCAGACAACUGUGAAGCUAAUUGCAAUUCCAUGUUCAGUUGGAGUCCAAAAGCUUGCAUUAGGAACUCACAGGCAUAACGAAGUGGAAAUGGAAUGCACCGUGCAGAAGUGUGAUGGCAAACAACCAACCCCCAAAGCCUCGUAGUGCUCCUCCCACCAACAGCUUCCUCAUCGUUUCCAUUAAUAAUAACAGCCAAAGCCAAUGAAGCAAUCGACCCCAUAUUAGCCAUAUACUGAGCGUGACAACCAUGCGGAGCCCUAAGUGUUGAACCUACUAAACACAAAGGUUGCAUAAGCCCUUCAUCCUGAAUGACACAAAGUGGAGUGGCGUGACAAUCAACAAUCAUCCUAACCCUAUUCUGCUUGAAUAAAAACCGUGAAGCCUGCGGAAUAUCAGUAGCCGGAUAAUGUAAUCCAAAAUAAGGCUCCAAAUCAGGCCUUUUACUCUCAGCCACAACCUCACCAUGUUCAUCCUCAUGAAACCUAUACACCAUAACCCUGUCGUACCCGGUAAGCUGUCUCACACUCUCAACAACAGUAUCACACAACAAUUUAAUAUCCCCACCAGGAAGCGAUUGCAAUUGAGAAAUCGCGCGCACAGCCAAUUUCUGUGACUGCACAGCUCCAGCAAUAGACAGAGCAGGAUCCUCUGUCCUUGCAGGCUCUAAAUCAAUAACUAUCCCUACAUCGACCCUAUGCAAAAUCGCGUAAAAGGGUUUACCCGUGUUCUUCGAAUGAAUCCAAAUUGGGUUUAACAAAGUAAUUUCCCUAGCGCCAAAGGCUUUUUCAAGCAGAACUGAACUUGAUGAAGUGAAAAGCGUGCGUACGUCGGUCCCAAUUGUUAAAAUCUCUUGCUUCUCAAGAUUAGGCACAGAUUGUGGAGCUAAUCCUAACAUUUCGCCCGCGUUUUCACUGUAAGCAAUGACUCGAAAAGUGGCUUCAUCAACAGCUAUAGUACAACCAAAGGGCUGAAUAUGGCCACCCCUUUGAAUUUUCGACAAGUAAGCACUAAUUUGCUGCUCAGGAACUGAAUGACUCGUCGUUCUAACUGACUGUGAGUAAUCAAACGACUUACCGGACUCGCCCGACUGUUCAAACACAGCGUGAAGCCGAGCAUCCACUGUGUACUGAGCAAUGGCUUUGCUUACCGUCAUUGAUUCUGUGGCGUUGUGGUGGGCUCUUAUGUUGCUUGUGCCUGAAGAUUGUGCUGCUGAUUGACUUCUACGAUGCUGCUGCUGGUGCUGUGAAUUCGAAGCCAUUUCUUUUACUAUUUAGUUCUUCAGUGUUUACAGAUUUUGCAAAAUCCUCAGAUGACUGAACGUGAAAAAAUUUAGUAAAGAGAGCCAAAUGAUCAAAGAAGCAAGAUGAAAACAGAGGAUUUUUGUCAAUUGGGAAUUUUGGAUCAAAAAGUUGGAGGGGGUGAAAGGUUUAAGUUUUAGUGCUUUGAUACCCUAUGGCAGUCAGGUUGGUAUUAUUUAUCUAAUUGUCUUUUAAGUGUUUAAUUAAUUAUUUAAAGUAAAAUCCUCAUUAUUUAUUUUAUAUUUUUAUAAUUUUUAAUUUUUUUAUUAAAAUAAUUUUUUAAUAUUUAAUAAAAAAAUUUAUUGACACUUAAAUAAUUAAUAAAAUUAUUAAUAAAAUUUCUAAUUAAAUAAAUUUUAUUUAAAAAUUAUACUGAACAGAAUCUUAAUUAAUUUAAAAGGUUUGAUAUAUUAACUUAUCCUCCAGGCCUGAUGAAAUUAUAAAAUAAAAAUGUUGGUGUUUGUUGGUUUUAUUAGUAAAACUUGUAAUAAAAAUUAAACUAUAUCUUUAUUUGUGGAUUGACCAACAAUUAGGAAUCCAAAUAUUAUUAUGUCAAAAGUUCAUUUACCUUCUUCUUUUUCUCUUGGGAAGGUAUUUUAUUUAUUUAUUAUUAUUAUAAUAUUGUUUUUAGUUUGGGCACGUGAUUUUUCUUUUUCCUUUUUCUGAUCUGGAAUUAUUUGUGGGCGUUAAGAUAGCUACGGUGGUGGGAAAUGAAAGGGAACCAUUUGAUUGGCUGGCCCCUUGCCUCCGGUGUUGAGCCCUCACAGCAUAUAAUAUUUUAUUUGUUCUCUUUUUCUCCGCAUGCUGUUUUACGUGGCCAUAUAAUUUUUUUUUCCCCCUAAAAUUUGAAUUGAAUCUCAUUUUUUCUCAAGUCCAAAUGAAUUUAAAUAUAAUUGGCUAAAUUACAUAUUUAUUUUUUAAUAUCUGAAUAUAGGUGUUAUUCCGUUUAUUUUUAUAAAUAAAAAUAUCUUAAAUAUAGUAAUUUGAUAUUUUAUUCUUUUCAAACAAAACAAAAAAAAUUAGGUUUUAUAGUUUAAAAAAUAAAUAUAUUUAAUAGAGAUUUUUUUAAACAUAAUAUUUACUUCACAUUCAAAUUUUUUUUCAUUUAAAUAAAGUUAGCAAAAAUUUAUUUUUUUAUGUAAAUGUCUAAAAAUUAAACAUAAAUCACUAAAAAUAAAUAAAUUAAUUAAUAAAAUUUCAAACUUUAAACAUUUAACUUUAGUCUAUUCAUUUUAUAUUUUAAUCUAAAUAUACGCCAUCAUGAGCUUUUUUUCCCCCUUUUUCUAAAAGUUUUCUUCUUUUUAAACUUUGGAUUAUGAAAUAUAUUCGGCCAAUGCGCUCGUCUAAAAUGCUUCCACCUACACACUGUAAAAUGAAUGUUUGAGGCUCGAUCAACUAAGUAUCUAAUAAUAGAGUAAUGAUAUAGCCACAAAUCCUUGUACAAAUUGAUGUGGCACGAUAAAAUUGGUUGAAUUAAAUAUCACUUGACUCAUAUGAUUUAUUUUUAUUAAUUUAUAUUUUCAUUCAACCAAUGAAUUAAUGACACGUCAAGUUGUACAAAAUAAGUUUGUACAAGAGUUUAUGGCUGUAUCAUUACUCCUAAUAAUAUAAUGUUAAAUUAGUGUCAAAUUAUAGAACUAUAAUUGGUCAAUCGCCAAUGGAUACUUCUUCAGCGCUCAGACAUGUUAAAAUAAGAAUUUAAGUCGGAUCACACAUGCCUUCAAUCAACGUCUUCUUUAAUGCUAACGUUAGCUCUUUUUAAAUAUAUAAAUUAGGGCAUUAAUCAUAUAAUGCUUGGUGUUAAAUUAGAGAGUUUAAUACUUACAUUGAAGCAUUUUAAAUAUAUAAAUUUAGGUCUCAAUCAUAAUGAAUCGAGAGACAAAAUAACAUAAUCUAUCUUCAAAUCCGCCUUUCCAAAAUUACAAAUUUAGGAAUUCUCAAGUCUUUAAUUAUGGAAGGGCCUAAGUUACAUUAAACGUAACGGCCCUCUCACAGUAACGACGGCGCAAGUUACGUUCAACGUAACUUAGCGCUAGCCUUUUAAUUAUUGCAGCUAGUACAAUAAUCAUAAAGGCAUCGAUACACAGUAUAAAAGAGAGAUGGUUUUGUUUUUUUCACAGAAAAUGUCAACUUUGAUACCGGAUUUAAAACAAAAAACAAAAAAAAGGCGUCCCAAUUCAGUAAUUCACCGCUGAUAAAAGCACCGAUACUGUUAGAAAAUAUGGACAAAAAACUUGGAUAGAUAGUGUAUGUCUUUGUAAAGCGCCGUACCUUUCAAAAUUUCCACCAGCGCAUGAAAUGCCAUAACACACAGCGACAUUUGACGCUCUGAAAAGCACAAAAUGCAUUCCAGGCAACGUGACGCCCACGUGAAUAGAUGAUCAACAACAUAUUAAAAAGUAGAUUCCAUUACAAGAGCAUCAAUGAUUUAACUCUCCAAACGCUUUACAUGGAUUCCAAUGAAAGUUUUACAUAUAUUUUACUUUAAAAAGAUAAAUGGAACUGCAUGCUAUUUUAAUUUAAAUUUAUACAUAGCUAUAUCAUUCGCAAAAGUAGAACGAUUCCACGCGUACGGAAUUUGUUGGAACAUCUUGGCUCUUACUAAAAGCCGUCCAUUUCUAAUCAUGGUGGCUAAAAAUUUUAUUCAAAUAUUCAAGAAUGGAGAGAUCCUUAUACAACAAUGCAAGCUCUGCAUCUAGAUUUUGAAACAUCACUUCGUUCAAUUAAUGAUCUGAGAGUCGUAUCUUGAUGAACUUUCAACUUACAGACCAAAGUUUUCGGCUGGUACUUCAAAUUACAAAAACAGUAAUCUAAAAACCCAACAACAAUUCCAGCAAAAUACAGAUUUAAAGACUUCAAAAGGGAAAAUGUUUUGGAAAGCAUGUUGAUUAUGAUUUCCCACCUGUUGCCGGGAAGUGAAUUACUUGGUGUAGAGAACAUCUUCCCAUGGGUGACGGUAUAGAGGUUGUUUCAAUCUCUUCUGGUCAAAGGUAUGCCUGAGAUUUGAAUGAGAAGCAAUAAGUCAGAUGCAGGAUGUGACGAAAAAGAGGGAUAAUAUACAGAGAAACUGCAAUUUUCUCUAUAUCUAUGAGACACCAAAAUUGGACGUCAGAAUCACAGUCAAGUAAUCCCAAAGUACCAGAUAGCAUAAGAUUAAUGGAACCGUUCAUUUUCCGUUGUGAAGAAGUUGAAAUCACUAUCAGCAUGCAUAGCAACAUCCUAAUCUACAAAAGAAGUCAUCUGACCCUCACAGCAUCACAGCCAAGUGCAACAUAACUAAACACCCUAAACAUAUCGAAAGGCAUAAAAAAGCCACAUUGCUAUCACUAUUCGUAGCAAGAAGCAAUUCCAGAUAAGAAUCAUUGUGGUAACAAACACUAGAAACCAGAAACUCCAAUUUUCAUUAUUUUUUGUUCUCUUGAUAAACAAAGUCCUAUCCCAAUAUCAACAGCAAAGUUUUGCAAAGAAAGCAAAAGUUAAGCAUAUAGCCCAAAUGAGCUUAGAAAAGAAGUGUAAUUUUACUUACCCAAUCAAACCGAUGGAGCGUGCCAGAACAAAGAGCCCAUUCAGAUAUCCAAUUUCCACUAUCUCAUCGAUUUCUUGCUUGCUGAACAUUCCACUGCCAGCAAGAAGAUCCAAGAAAAGGGACCCAAUUGCACCAUCUACAUUAAGAACCAGGUUGUUUGCUUUUGAUAGAGUGUAGGUUUCAACUUGAACAGCAUAUUCCAUAUACUUCACAGAAGGGAAAUGAGUGCGUGCAAAUUUUUGUAGCAGCUCCACUCUUUUGUCUCUGUUAUCUCCUCUCUUGAUCCUUUUUCACAGAAAGCAAAUAGCAUAUCAACAUUGAUUUACAAUUAGCAACUAAUGCAUGAACAUUAAAUUUCAUAGAUCCAAGAUUUAAUAACACCUACAUACCUGUGCCCAAUUCCUGGCACACGUAUGCCCUUCUUUUUCAUUGAUUCAACAAAUUCAUAGGCUGAAAGACCCUGAUAAGACAGCAAAAGAAUAAAAUUUCAGAAUCUAGAAACUAUCAGAGCAAUCAGAGUAUUGCUUAAUCAUCUCACGUAAUCCACUAAACUUUACCCGGUCAUAAGCAUCCUUGAAAUAUCGGGCAGCAUCAUCAAUGGCGCCACCAAAUCGGGGACCAAUUGUGAGCAAACCUGUUUCAGAACCUCAUAAUUUAGUUCUGUCGUGUCAAUUCUCAAAUGAUAACUAAACUAUAAAUAUUUUUAAAAUGGGUGGGGUUUCCUUGACUUAAAUUUUUUAAUUGGAAAAAUCAUGACUUAAUUUGUCAUCCAUUGGAUCCAUCCAAUCCAAUAGUAGAUGGAUGAACACUUACAUGCAACUUUUUAACUUUAGAUCCACACCAUUGGAAAAGAGGAUAAUAAAACCAAAACCAGUUGUUUACCUGACACGAGGCUGGAAACAAGAUCCUUUCCAGCUCUUGCUGUCACUAUAGUGUUGUGAGCACCAGAAACACAGGGGCCAUGAUCAGCGCAUAACAUUAUGCAUAUCUGUCCAAGAUAAUGUGUAUCAUAUCUGUCCAAGAUAAUGUGUAUUAAUGGAAAAAAAAAAAUGAGCACCAUAUACUAUUAAUCAUGUGCUUUGACGCUAAUGGGGAAAAAGAGGAAUAAGAAAGCUAAACUGAAUAGAACUUUCCAUAGUACUUCAACGGUAGAAAUUCAAAAAAAGCUCUUCAUUGACAAUGAACCUACCUCAAUAAAUUGGGUACAGUAGCGGGGAAGGCUGCGUUUAAACCACAAAAGGGAAAUAACAUCACCCACACCAUAACCUUGUUCUACAAUUGAAGACAUUGGUACACCAGCAUAGCAUGGCUCCUCACCUACAGAUUAGCAUAAAGAAGAAUUUAAAGUUAUCAAAGCCAAACACCCAACUGCCGAUCAAAUCAAGACCAUAAAAAAAUAAGUACCUCUGUCAUCAGAGAUGGUUGAAAUAAUAUGAGUUGGAGCCCGUACUUUCCCACUCUUAAUGGCAGUGUUAAGAUCCUCAGGGAUUUGUGGUGGUGUAACUUCCUUCACUGGUGGAAUCUUCCCCUCUUCAACCUAAGGUAAAAUUCAUCCAUCCACAUGAAUAAGAUUAGUUAGGCAGCAUUAAAGAAAUUGUAGCCCUUUUGUCUUCCCUUGGUGGGAGAGGAAGGGAAAGGGGCAGGGGCAGACAAAGGGUCUUAGAAACUAACAAGUUUCUCAAAUGUCUCCUUAAUUGCAGAUUCAAAGGCUUCAUAUGAAGUAGGAACAACAGCUCCAGCAUCCCUUAGUGCUUGAUUCUUUGCCUGAGCAGACUCCAUCUCACCACCACUUUUAGCACCCUGAUUUAGUUAAUGACAAGGAAGAUUAUGGAUAUGCAGGCCUCAAGUUAAGAAUGCUAUGGUAUUGAAAAAUUAUCCAGGAAAACUUGAGUAAUAACUUACAGCAUGACCAAAUUGCACUUCUGAUUUGAAUAGUCGAGCACAGGUUCCACUGACCCAUGCAACCACAGGUUUGUUUACCUUUCCCUGUUUCAGAGCUUCAACAAGGGAGUACUCAUCCCGUCCUCCAAGUUCACCAAGAACAACCAUCAUUUUAACCUGGGGUCAGCCCCAGAAAAAGACAUUAGAAGGAAGAGAAAAAUAAGAAGAAAACAUUAUGUGCAAAAAGACUAAAGCAGAAAAAGCGGUAAAAAAAUUCUUAUAAUUUUCUUCAAGCAUGCCCUCUAGAGCAAGUAAACUGAAUUAAUUAACAACUUCAAGUUGCAAUAACACUUCAAAAAAUCAACAUUCACCACCAAAACAAUGUCUAUACAUACUACUUGCUACAGGUAUCCACAUGGCUUUGUCAAGACAUAAUUUUUCAUCAGGAAACACUCAAAGAAAUAAAUAGAAACACAAAUUUACCUGUGGGAUGUUGUUAAACCGCAAAAUGUGAUCAGAAAGAGUGGAGCCAGGGAACACAUCUCCUCCAAUUGCAAUACCUACAGAAUUUUGAAAAAUAUCCCCACAAUAUGUUCAAUCCUAAAUCAUUUUAGGCAGGCAAAAGAUGGAAUAAAGAUGCAUGCAGUGUACCUUCAUAGAUUCCAUCUGUUACACGAGCAAUAGUGUUGUAUAGUUCAUUAGACAUGCCACCCUGCAAUUGUCAAAAGGAACAUUAUUUGUCAAAGGUUCAAUCAUAUGGCAUAUUCAAACUAUGCAUCUCAAGAAAAUUACUGGUCAUAAUAAGAACUUAAUGAAUGGGUAGGUUCCAUUUUGAGCUCUACAUACAGACAAGCUCGAUCUCACUCGUCAAAAUUGUGGGGCAAAACUGUUACAUAGUCAACUACAUUGAAGAUCACAUGAUUUAUGUCGAGAAGGCAGUAAAUGAUACUCCAAAGGUUAAAGCAAUUUAGAACCUCAUAAAUGCAAGCAGCAUAUAGAUUUUUACUAUGAGAAUAUAUAAUCAGAGUGAUUAAAGCUAUCCAAAAAGAAUGAGCUUUUCCGUAACUAUUUCAACCAAAUUAGUAAAAAUAUGGACCAGUCAGUUUACUACUUGUUUCCCUCAUUAAAAUCUACUCUUUUUUAGGCCAUAACUUAAAAUGACUGAGCAAUUUCAAAUUUAAGUUUUUAGAUUCCCAACUGAACCAAAUGAUAAUGCUAAAGGAAAGAGUACAUACAGAUUUGGAGACAAAACCAACAGAUCCAGGCCUGUAGAGUUUGCAAUGAAUGAUGUUAUCAAUGGUUCCGGCUGUGUCACCUAUCUUAAAAGCUCCAGCUUGAAUUCCUCCAACAGUUGCUGGGCCAAUAACAACCUGCAAAAUGAUCAUUAUUAAAUUUUGUUACAGGUUAACAAGACAGGUAAUUAAUCAGUAAGGAUGACUACUAGUAUUGAAAUUAAGAUACAAGUUAAUUAAAAUAGCUUCAUAUUAUUCUCCUCACCUUGUUGUUAGACCGAGCGUAUGCAAUCAAUUGCUUGGUGUCUGCCUCAGGCACACCUUCGGCAAUAAUUGCCACUACCCGAAUGGUUGGCUGUUUCAGGGCAGCCAUAGAUGAGGCAGCCGCACUGCAAUUAUAUUUAAAUGUCAGACUGAUGUAGUUCUCACAAAGCAUUCAAACCAUGAUAUUAACUAACAAAUGAAUAUUUACCUUCUAAAUGAUGAAAAGUUGAUGAAAACAUCAGCCGUUGGAUGAGCAGCACAAGCUGCCUCAACACUGCAAAAUUUUAAAAAUACAGGUUAGCAAACUCAAAGCCCAGGAAUAUGCAACUUCAGUGCAAGUAUACUGCUUCAAUUGUUAGGCUAACAAAUUUGUAAACUAAAUGUCCAAACUGAUAUAAAGCAGUGGACUGACUUUAGCAUAAAUAGACCAAUUAGCAAUGUACCAUAAAAUUGACUGACGGAAUUCUAAAGAUUUCUGCUCGUGACAUCAAUAUUUGACACGUAACAUGCCAAAAAUGCUCAUGACCACAAGUAUACACUGACCAAACUGUACUUACAAUUUAUUAUUCUCACAUAAACACAAGAGUAUAAAAAAUAACAACACCACCAAGUUUUCACAAAAGAGUAAAAUAUUAAAUAAAUUGUGUGAGGAUAACGAGUACUCCACAUUAGACGGCCUAGCUAAAUCAACAGGAAUCAGCUUUCUUAACACCGAAAUAAGUAAGAUGUUUUACUUAAUAAUACAGAAGUGACAGAUUCAUAUAAAUAGAGAAAGAGAAACAUAAUCUUACGUUGAAUGCACAGGAAUGGCAAUUUCCUCUUGUCCAAAAAACAAUUUCUGAAAUCCCUCAGCCCCAGGAUUUAUAAUUCCGGCAACUGAAGGUGUUUCCCUCCCUAAAAAUACAAUUUCAGAUAUUCAAAAUAAUGCCACACACCAUCAAUUAAGAUAAUGCGGUUACCUUAUCCAUAUUUCACAUACAUAAAAUUAAUAAAAAACUGCAUUUGCAUAUCAUACACACCGCAAAGGAAAUCAAAAUCAAGCAUCCGUUGGAUUGGAAGCUGCUUAUAGUUGUAAAACAAAGCUUGUGUGGUUUUUGAAAACAGCUGUCCUGUAGCCAUGGCGUGACUAAUCGCUGAAGACACCUGCGAUGAACAACACAAUUCAAUUCUGUCAAAUUUGUAAAAUUAGCAAGUGUGAUUAGAGUUCAUUUGGUACAAAUUCAGUCGAAAUGGAGCAGAUCUACAUUGUUCAAUUAGUUCAACAAACACGCACCUAACUUAAACCAGAAGCUAACCAGAUCGCAAGUUACAACUAACAAAAAAAGAAUAGUAAAACGGCGACGUAGAGGCAAAGCAAACGGUUACAUUCAUUUAAAUAGAAUUCAUAAUCAAGAGUUUUUUCACUAAACAACAAAACGAAGCAUAUCGUUACUCUAUCCUCGUAUAAAUCGACAAUUGUAAUCAAACAGACAUGAAUUGGAAUCAAAGAGAGAAAGGGAUCUGAGUCAACAACUACCUGACUCGGAGUCCCUGCCUCGUGAACUCAGCCGAUACAAUGCGAGACAGGGUAAAAGAAAUGAGACGAUUCGAAAUUCGGGGGGAGAAGAGAAUAGGAUUUUAUAGAAGGGGAGAAUGGCUUUGGCAGCUAGACUUGGAAGGGAAGAAGCCAGACGGCACGUGGCGUUUGGUAGUUAGAUCAUUCAUGGCCUUGCUAUCAUUGACUCAAACUUACCCCUUCUGCAUAUUUUCGUACCUGACCUUUUAUAAUUUCUCAAGUAAGAACAUAAUUUAUCCAUUUGUAUUAAACAAGCCCUGUUCUGUCCGUCAAAUAAUCAUUUAUGAAAUGACAAACUUGCCCCUUACUACAAAUGUUGAUUGGGUUUUUUUUUCUUUUUGGAAAAAUGAAUUAAAUUAUACAAAUUACUCUCAUAUUAUUUUUACAAUACUUUCUCAUUUCUCUUAUAACAUAACCUUAAAAAACUUGUAUAUUGAGGUGAUUUUAAUUUUUUUUGGGUAAAAUAUGAUUGAAAACUGAGGAAGUUAAAAUCUUAAUGUCUAGAAGUUCUAUCAUUAAAUUUACACGAAGAAGCUUCAUUUUUUUUUCUUUUUGGAAAAAUGAAUUAAAUUAUACAAAUUACUCUCAUAUUAUUUUUACAAUACUUUCUCAUUUCUCUUAUAACAUAACCUUAAAAAACUUGUAUAUUGAGGUGAUUUUAAUUUUUUUUGGGUAAAAUAUGAUUGAAAACUGAGGAAGUUAAAAUCUUAAUGUCUAGAAGUUCUAUCAUUAAAUUUACACGAAGAAGCUUCAUUUUUUUUUCUUUUUGGAAAAAUGAAUUAAAUUAUACAAAUUACUCUCAUAUUAUUUUUACAAUACUUUCUCAUUUCUCUUAUAACAUAACCUUAAAAAACUUGUAUGUUGAAGUGAUUUUAAUUUUUUUUUGGUAAAAUAUGAUUGAAAACUGACGAAGUUAAAAUCUCAAUGUCUAGAAGUUCUAUCAUUAAAUUUACACGAAGAAGCUUUAUUUAAAAAAUUAUAUCAAAUGAAUUCUUAUGAUAUGUUUACUUUUCUAGAAUCAUAAUAGUCAGAAAUCAGAAUAAGAUGUAUUCCCAUUAAUUUAUUUAAUUAUCCUGUAAUUGAAACAAAUUGUUUAAAGUUACUAAAAUGCCCUUAGGUACAAUUAUGUACUUGCUCACUAAUAAAAUAAAGAGUAAAUAUUUUUACUAUAAGUAUUUUUAAUAAUAUUAUUAUUAUUACAAUUAUUAUAAUAAAAAAUUUGUUAUUACCAUUAUUAUUAUAAUAUUAUAAUAAGAUAAUGACAAUUAUUAUUAAAAAUAUUAAUAAUUAUUACCAUAAUAGUAAUAGUAAUAUUCUAAUUAUUUUAGUUAUUAUAUUAAUUAUAAUUAAUAAUAAUCAUUAUUAUUAUUAUAACGACAAUUAUUGUUAUUGUCAUUAUUAUUAUUAUUGUUAAUUAUGAAUAUUAAUAUAAUUAUAAUUAUUUUAAUUUUAUAAAUAAUUUUUUAUUUAAUAUUUAAAGAUAAAAAUGUCAAUUUAUUCCCUAUUAUUAUUCCCACCUCUCAUAUAAAUGAGAUUCUCAUUCCUUAUUUUUAGGUUUGUCAGCCCCACCUAAAAUUCAUUCUCAUUCUUUUGGAUUUUUAGUAAGUAAAUAUAUCAAUGAAGAAUAACAAUCAUUCUUAAAAGUAAACACACGAUAAUUAUAUAAUGCAAUUAAACUUAACUAAUUUAGUAAAUUAGAUAAAAGUUACAAAAAUUUAUUUUUUCUAUUCAUAUGCAAAUAAUUGAAAAUAAAAAAUAAAUUAUAAAAAAUAAACAAGUAAAUUUUUUAAAAAAUAAAACUUUAGACAUUUAACAAACAAGCCUUAAGAACAUUUAUUUUUCCAACUUAAUAGGGAAAAUUGUUAUUUUUAAAUACGUCAUUUUUUCCUAAAAUAAUGAUUUUACUAAAUAAUUUUUAGAAAAAUAUCUCUAAUUAAUUGUUUUAUUUGCAUCCUCUCUACUCAUAAACUAGAGUUAAGUUCUCAUGAAUAUGAUUUAUGUUAAUACAUGUAUGAGGGUACUAUUUUAUUAAAAUUUAUAAUGACGCAAAUCUAAAAGUAUAAUAAAUAAAGGAUAAUGCUUUGUUUAGUCACUUUAAAUACUCGAUUAGUAGUCACUGAUAUGACAUUUUACAUCCUUCAUUUAACUCUUCAUAUUUGACAAUUGAGACUAAAAAACAAACACCUAACUCAACACUUACGAGUACUUUAGUCAUUUUGAAAGCAGUAAGGACCAAUAUGGUAUUAAUGGAAAACCGUGGCUAUAUCUAAGAAAUUACAAAAAGUUAGAGGCUGCAAAUUUGUAUUUGAGAUAGAGAAGUGCUGCUGGUACGAUCAGGUUGGUGGUUGGUGGGAGGAAUCGUUUGCUUGGGGGGGAAAAUUUUGCACGGAUAUUUUAAUUUGGCUAGCACUAUUUUUUUAUUUAUUAUUAUAUGAGUUCAUAUUACAAUCCAUAUUUUGAAAUAUUAUAAUUAAUAUUUACAAUCAGAUAAUUACUAAAAUUACAUUCACUUAAAUUUAAGGAAUGAAAUUAAACCCCCACAAUAAUAUUAUGGGGGUUUGAACCAUUACCCUCGUAGUUAUGAGGGACUGGAUCUAAUUUGGACGAGUGGUUUGAGUAGUGCUAUUUGAGUUUAUAAAUUUCUUCCUUAUAUUAUUUUUUAAUUAAAAAUUUUAUUAUCUAAAUAGUUUUAAAAAACUACUUAAUUAAUUAUUUAUUUUCUUCUUCUUAAUUUCAUAAAUCCUCAUAAAUUCAUUGAGAUAUAUAUUUUUAGAUGCAAAUAAUUAGUAUCACUAACUAAAAGGAGCAAAACUACCAUUUUAAAAAAAUAUCAAUAAAUUUUUAUCAAUCAUCAAGGUUAAUAUAUAUCAAAAAAUUAAUUUUUACCAAACACAAAAAUUAAUGCAUAUGAAGAAAAAAGAUCCUUAUAUAUAGAAAUCAUGAGAUAUAGUUUGUGGUAUACUAAAAAAACUAAAAAAAUGAGUUUGUAAAAUGUGGGAGUAGAGAGAGAAUAUGUAAUUGUACGAUAAAGAGAGAAAGAGAUUAAUGAAAGGUAAUUUUGACUUUUUGAGAUUUUUAAAUUUUAAACUCUUAAUAAUGAAUUUAUUUUUCUAAAUAGGUUUUGAGAGAAAUUUGAUAGAUUCAAAUAACCCCAUCCCUAUCUUAAAGUAAUAGAUUUAAGUUUAGAAAAAAAUGUGAACGACCCUCAGAUGGAGGAUAACUACAAUCUUGCCACCAAUUACUAAUCUAAAAUGGUACUCUCCUAAGACGGCAAUUAUACAUGUGUGUAGAGUCGAGACCACAUUUAACGAGCAAGCAAAAAAUAUUAUUGCACUCAAGUGAGUAUUUCUCUCGUCUUUAAUACAGAAAAUUUUAAAUUUUCAUUCCAAAUGACGUAGUAUAUAUCAAUUAUAUGGUGAAAUAAUAUAAUAAAAUCACUUGAAAAUUUUAAAAAUUUAUCAACUAUUCAAUAAAUGAUAUGUCACCUAAGGUUUAGUUUAGUUCAAUUUCAAAAAGGUAAAAAAAAAAAAAAGAUAGAUAUAAGAAAAAGCUAAAAAAAAAAAAAACACAUUAUAAAAAAAUCGAUCGGUUUAAUUCGAUUCAAAACUAAACCAUACUAGUGCCCACCCAUAAAUAUUAAUGUCAUCAAUAUUUGUCGCCAAAUUAAACAGUGAAUUAGGCUGUGAGUAUUGCUAUUUGGUUGGUUGAACUGAUAAAAUCAUUUUAAGUAAUAUAAAACAUAUAGAAUAAAUCGACGUUUGUUCGACAAUAAAAUUAAGUGUGACAAAAUAGAUUUUGACUGGAUUUUAAUGAAAAAAAUGUCCUUGUUCCUAAUAAAAGGAUAAUGUAACGCGCGCGCGGAAAUUUUUGCUUUGCUUUGUUGUCAUUGCGUAUGAUUAGAACUUGCAAAGCCAGCAAUCUACACUGUUUCCUCCCCGUAAGCUACAGUGGACGACGUGGCCAGAAAUAUCAGCGUAUGGGUAAAAUACCACUCACUCUUUUUGCAAUUUGCACAAUGCCAUCACUCAUCAACGUAACCCACUAGUUGUCGUUUUCUCCAUAUGAAUUUACGAUUCGAUAAGAUAAUGAAUUUUUUUUUUUUGGGUGCUUUUUGGGUGGAACUAUGACAACGAUAGUGUUGAUGGUCAACAAAUGCAUGACAUUAACCAAAUUUAUUAUUCAUUGUGAUCUUAGCUUAUGGCCCCACGUGUAAAUCAAAUUUUGGUUAACACAGAUUGUUAGGCAUUUAAAGCUUUAAAUAAUAAUAAUAACAGCAGCGGUGUCCCUAGGUUUCCCAAAAAAAUUCAGACAUUCCUUCAAUUAACAUUAUCAUAUGUACAAAUACGUAUAUAUAGUUUCCAAAUACUCGAAUUCUAAAAGUUGGUUUUCUUGAGCUGGUAAUUUCUGAUUGAGAUUUGAUUAUCACGAUACAACCGUCUUAUGUUGUCGUUGGUCACAAAAUUCGAUGCCUUCUGAGUAUUUUUUUUUGUCCAAAUUUUUGUCCACACGCAAAUGGUCAAUUAGUAUUUAUUUUCGCCUAACAAAUAUAAUAUGUAUGAUACAUCAAUCUGGUUAACUAACCCCUCUGAAGACAUUACACCUGGUCGAUAUUAUUGGAUUUGAAUAAUUAUUUUUUAUUGUUCUUUAAUAUGAAGACUCAUUAUAAGAUUAUAUUAAUUUCGUCCUACAAAGUAUCAAAGAUUCCAUUGCUCGUGUCAAUGAUAUCGUUAAGCACGAAACCUAUUUUGCUUAAUGGCUCGUGAGCCUCGUGUUCAUUCUUUUUAUGGUUGACCCAACUAUUUUUGUUUACAGUCACUUUCUUCAUUUUGAUGACACUAUGAUUAGAAUCUUUAGCUUCAAUGUUUAGUCAAUAUCGGAUGGCAAAAACAUAUUGUUUACUCGAUGUCUUUUAAUUCCCGCCAUUGAAUUAAAUGAAAGAUCAUUUUCAUGCAUGACAUAUCAAUAUCAGUGCUUUACUUAAUUACUAUGUACUAUUGAUCUCCUAAUGAUCAUUCAUUAUUAUUGUUGUUGUUGUCGUAUUUAAAAUUAAUAACACAUGUUAUUAAAGUAAGAAUGACUAACAAUACAUUAAUGUAUAGAAAUAAAUAUAAGGUCAAAUCAGGCUUAAAUAUAAACAUAUAGAAUAAUGCUUAAUAUUCAAAUCUAAGUUAAGGUGACAUCUAAUCACAAAAUCACUUCAUAUACUAUAAAUUUCUAAUUCAGGAGGAGAAUAAAUGGGUCCAUACAACAAAAUCUCAUGAAGCAUCGGAGGAAAUUUGCAACGUUAACUUAGUCUACUAACCUCAAUUAUUAUAAGUAAAAACCACCUCUCAAUCGGAAAAAGAAAACCAAUAUAGUACCACGACAACACAACACUUCUACAAUAACAAAACACAAUGUUGGUACGUAUUGAAAAUGCAAUGAAGAAGAAUGGAUAAUAUUUUUCCAUCUCAAUAGCACAUGGUAAAGCGAAGGGCCUGAAGGCUGUAGCCGCUGGGCCUUGUAGGCUGUAGCACAGUGAUAAAUCUCAGGCCCUCAAUAUGGAGUGUUAAGUGGGACAAUAAUUUUUAAUUAGUGCACCAAUUGCACCAACAUCAUUUUAGAAAAGGCGGCUAAAAUUGAACUUGGGGCGAAUCCCCACGAAUUUGAUGGUACUCUUAAUCAAUAGAAUUGAAUCAAUUUUGUUCCAAUAAAAACACCAGCCUCAGCAACAAAAAGUCGUUGGUCCACAAGAACUUGUACUUUGGUGGUUGAAAGUCGAAACGUUUGAAAUCCUCCGAAAACAAAAAAGUUAGUUGGUGUUUCAUAUUUGGCUUAUAUAUAAUUCGUUCACAAUUUUUUAAGGUAGUUAAAGCAUUGCUAUUGACAAUAAUUUUAGGUAUUCUAACAAUCUAACAUUUAAUCGGUUCUCUGUCAUUGACUCUUAUAUUGCGGUCACAAAUCUUUCCAAAUACAUGACCAUAUAUAUUUUUUCUUCCGUCACAUGAAUUUAAUUUCAUUUCACAUAAAUAAAAAAAAAGAAAAUUCUCAAUGAUGAUUUUGUCAUUUAAUUCAAUAGUGUAACAGAUAAAUUCAUAAACUAAUAAAUAGGAUCUAAUUAAGUUUUCUUAUGAUGUCAUUGAAUCAACAAUUUGAAGUGCCUUUCUUUUGUAUGAUCAUAAUGAAACAGUGUUUUAUAUGUAGAUGGAGGAGACCGUUUGAGAACACCUAAUAAUGCCGAAGCAAGCAACAUAUCAAUCCUGAAUUGUUAUGUUAUGUUUGUGACUAAUUUUUAUCGAAUGAGUAAGGUUCAUUCGAUACUUUAUUUUUAGUUAAUAUAUAGAAUAAUUUGGUGCCGUGGAGCUUGCAUCGUUUACCAGUUGCCACACUUGGCUUUCUAAAGUUGAGUCUAAUUUUGAACUCAUAGCCUUCAUUAUUUACUUCUAAAUAAGCGAACAAAUACAAUUAUAUAUUUUAUCCUAGGCUAGCACUAGCAGCCUUCACACUCCACCUCAAACUCCUUUUUUUUUCUUUCUUUUAAGCAGGGGUUCUGGAAAAAAAACCAAAUCAUUUGUUUAGCUCUUAAUUUCCUUGGAUUUUAAUUAAAAGAGUCAUUCAAAGAAGGGUAACUGUAAAUCACUCAGACAAACUCCCAAGACGGCAUUAUUUCUAUUUACACAAGCGAGUACAAAUUAAUUAUACAAUUAUUUACAUACCAAUAUUAAAACCAAAAUGAAAUAUAACAUCCAACUAUCUUUCAAUCUUUUUCUGGUUUUUUUUUUUCCCAGAUCAUUCAAACAAUAUAUCUCUUUAGAUCAAAAUAGCAAUAAGGAGGCCUGUAACCACAUUCUUAAAGUGAAUGCGCAUGUUAAACCUGCCACUGCGAAGGGAGAUGGAAGCAAAUCUGUACUUUUUGAUGCAAGUAUAUAUUCUGGCCAAAGAGUAGAGCAAAUUGGAGCUGGAGAAGAAAUGGAUAUUGGUAAGCAAAGUGUGGGUAGAAUUGCUUGCUGUCAUAUGUCCAACAAGUAAUUAUUAAUGGCGGAGAGCUUAUAAUUUAAGUUUUGUAUGGCCAUUGAAUGGCUCAUCUAGGUCUUGGAGAGCAGUUCAAAGCAAAAAAGGAACACAGUGCUCUGAUGAAUUUUGCGUUGUAUUUUGGUGUACAAAUUAACUGGAGAUCAAAUAUAAUUUCUAUUUUUUAAUUAGAAAAAGAAAGGGUGCAAAUUUUGACGGUUUAUGUUAGUAAAACACUAAAAGCUUCCUAUUAAUUGUAUAAAUUGGGGAAAUUGAAGUCUUAAUCUCUUGUUUUCAUUACAAGAGGUCAAAUUAUUGGAGAAAUUCAACCCCUACUGUUUAUUUUCACUACAAGAGCCUAAACUAACUUAAUUGUACCCUCAUACACAAUGAAAUAAAGCAAGCAUUCAUUAAACUAUGCUAUUGGUUAAAAAGUUGUAUUAAUUGAGAACGUGGAGCGCCUAAUUUUAAUUAGAGGGAGUUCCCUGAGAGUUUCCAAAUUACCACAUUGAUUAAGAGAGAAAAAGAAGGAGAGGUCAGCUGUGUAUAAAAGAAGCAAAUGCGCAAUCACUAAUCUCAUACCUUUCUCGGCCUUUUGGCUAAGAUCAAGUGUAGUAUCUGUUCUUAUCAGUUUAAUAUCUGAUAUGUGAGCCAAUGGCUCACACGAUAUUAAAUUAAUUUUUUAAGGGCGAGAGCUAAAUACGGUAGCUUGCUACCGGGGCUCUCAAGCGUCGCCCUUGCCUGGCACUACUGAACGGGCCUGGCGCACCCUACCAAUACAACUGAAAUUUUUGACAUUAUUUUUUGUAUUAUUUAUUCUUAAAUAAAUAAAUAUUGUAGUGUGAGAGAAUUUAAAUGGUGUCCUGCUUUGUCUUCUUUCUAUCAAAAUAAAUUUACUGGUCAAGGAGGUUGUCGACUGAUACAAAUUUAUUGGGUGGCCACUCCGGUGGGGCUUAAUUGUAAAUCAUAGAUGAAUUACUUGUUGUUUCCUGAUACAAUAUCAAUAUAUCAUGAAGGAUCCAGAAAAAAACAAAAAACAUAAAAAGAAUUUGAAUUUGCUUGACCAUUGAAUCCUCUUAAAUGGUAUGUUAACGUUGCACAGAUUCAACCUUGCAUGACCUGCUUGCUGAGAAAAUCAACUUAUAUGGCGUGAUAUUGACUUGAUAUGAGCUAUUCGACAUUGCGUAAAUAUCCCACAUCGGAGAAAAGAUUGAAAAACAAGAAACCUGACGCCAUACAAAUAAAGAAGUUUGAUCAGCGUUAGAACUUACUUACCUGGGCGGGGUCGAUGGGGAUCAAGAAGGCCCAUGGCCUAGGAUGGUGGUUCUUAUUGCACUUGGAGAGUGCACCACCCUAAGGUCUCCCCAAGUGGGAGAGCCUACGUCAUAAUUUGUGGCAGUGGGGGCCUGCGUUCGCGCGGCCCCUGCCCAUUGCUAGUCGGUCAAGUUUUUAUCAUUCAAAUAAUAAAGAUACUAGUAAUGUUUAACUGUUACAUUGAGCUUGAUAAUACCAUUCAAAUUAGCAACAUCAAGGAACUGAGUCUCCAUAAUCCCAUAACCCUUAACAAAUCUAAAAUGCCCAGUACCAGAUACAACACCAAACUCUCUUUGCUUCAUUGCAAAGAUAUCAGAUCCUUGAAUCUCCAAAGUGCUUCCUUUAAAUUCUCCGUCAGUAAAAAUAAGACUGAAAGCCAUGUACAAGGCCUUACCAUCUAACUGAGAGUUCACAUAAAUGCCUUGUGCCCUGCCUAUUUGUUUGGAAUCGAUCGUGGGGCCCUCGGUGACUGCAUCGUCUACAACCGCGAUUGUGCCGAAGCGGAGGAUAUGUGAUGUGGGUCCAUCUUUUCCAGCGACGGUGAUUGCUGAGGUGUCACGGCCAGUGAAAUAGUCAUGCACGUACAGGACUAAGUUGCUUUCUUUUGCUUCUUGUCUUGGGAAUGUGUAGGCUAUGAAAAGGAGUGCUGCUGCGAAUAUGAAGAAGAAGAAAUUGGAGGUGGGGCUUAGAGGAGUGGCCAUGGCUUUUUAGGGUCAAUUUGGAGAUGAGAAUCUGGUGCUUUUGAAGUUUGAGAUGUGUAGAUAGAUGAGUUGAAGAUGCUUGGUUGAGGAAUUGGAAUUCUUGAUGAAAGAAAAAGACAAAGUGGGGUUGUGAAAGUCCAGGUUCUUUCUAGUAGCUUUCCCUAAUGUUUGAUGUCUUAGUCAUUGGUUUUAUAAACAUUAUUUUAUCAUUGCUCUUAUUUUAUUUUAGUUUGAGAAUAUCAUUGCUCUUAUUAUUUAUUAAGAGGGUGGUUCCCCACAUUUCGUUUUAAUGUUUUCACAUUUUUCUUUAAAAAUAAAAAAAAUAAAACUCUUAAAAUUCAUUAAAAGACAGAAUUUCCGUUACAAUUUUAUCAUGGCUUUAUCCAUUCAUCAUUUACCCAACUCACUAAUCAAAUAAUAACAUCAAAGUCCUUUGUAUUUUCUAAAAUUUGAAAGAUAUCAUUUAUUUACAUAAUCAAUCAGUUUCAUCUCUAUAAAACUUUACUUUUCUUUAGUCCCUUAGAUUCUUUCAUUGUUUAUGAGCAUUAAGAUUGCCUUAACAUAAUAUUAAUUUAAUUAGUUUAAUUUUAUAACAUAAAUUAAUCAAAAGCCCAAAAAGCUAUGUGCAAUUAUGCCAUAAUAUAUUAGAAUCAUAAAAAGUUACAUUAAUUAAAAUGUAUUGUGGGCAAUUUCGUCUUGUAAUAUUAAAAUCACUAAAUAAUUAAAUUAAUCUUCUAGGAAGCCAACCUUAUUGCUCAAGAUAUGAAUUAAAGAAAAAAAAAAGAUAUUUAAAUGUGAAAAGAAAAUUAUGAAGGAUUUAUUUAAUUAAUUGUAUAAACAAUUAAUUUAUUUAAAAUAUUGGCAAAUAAUACGGACCUUUAUAUAAAUUACUCUUUUUUGUUAGGUUUAGAAAAAAAAUAGUUACCGGAGCCUUUUUUUUUUUUUUUUCAAAAUUCUUUCUUAUACUUUUCGUGAAUCCUCAUUUGUCUGCUAGUUAUCUAGUGUUACGAGUGAUCUAACAUUCUAAAUUUAUGGUGUGUUUACUUUUUAGAUUAAGGAAUUAGAAUCAUUGACAAUGUUAACUUCACAAAUUAAGAGCGGAAAUUGAAAUCAAAUAAGUCUACCCAACCUCAAUUUGGGUUUGAAAAAUGGAAGAUCGAUUCCCAUCGCCCUUGGGAACAACAAUAAUAAUAAUAACUCUGUAGAAAAGAUUAAUACAUAAUAACAAUUAUUAUAAUAAAUAAUAGUAAUACUAAUAAUUGAAAUAAUUCAUUCUGAUUCGUAGUUAAAGUAAAUACAUUUAUGGUAAUACAAUCCAAUCUAAUUUUGAUACUUGCAAUCGAAGUAAACAACUUAUUUUGAUUCCUAUUCUUAUUCUCAUUCCAGCUCAUUCUGAUUUUAUUUAACCCAUUCUGUAGCCAUUUCAUGCCGAUUACUAAUUGAUAAACAUACCAUUAAAGUAUUGGUAGUAAUGUACUUGAAAAAUAGAGGACUUUUCAUCUCCAAAGUAAAAUUUUACAACGAUUUUUUUAAUAAACAUUGACUACUAAAUGUUUUUUAGGGGUGGGCGACUAGUCGGUUCAAUUUAGUAUUGAAUUCUAAAGAACUGAUAAUAAUAGAACAAAACAAAAAAGGUGUCGAACCACAACCAAAAUUUUUAGGCAAAUCCUUCAAAUAUUUACAAUUAUGUUAAUUUUCUUACAAAAUUUAAAUUUUUAUUUUUUCUGCUGUACGGCCAAGGCGGAUGUACGGUACAGCAGAAUGUAAUAUUAUAUUUUAUAUAUUAGUUAAAUGUGUAUAAUUAAUUAUAUUAACUUAUUAAAUAUUAAUCAAUUUUAUAUAUUAAUUAUUAUAAUAUAAUUAAAUAAUACAUUAUUUAGUUAUAUUUUUAAUAUAAUAAAAAAUAAAAUAAAAUAAAUUAUUAUUUAAUAAUAAAUUAUCAAUUUAUUAAUUUAUAUUAUAAUUAUAGUAUAAAAAUAAAAGAAAAUAAAAAUUAAUAUUAUAUUAUAUUAAAAAGUUAUACUUAUUAUUAUUAUAUUGAAAAAAACUAAUGCGGCAACUGCCACAUUAGCACACUUGCCAAGAGCAAAGAUUAAUGGUGCCCACUGCUUUCCAAUCAAUCGCUAAACAUGUGAUUUGUUCAAGUAAUACUGGACCCACACACUAAUGCUACGCAAUACCAUACCCCAAACACACUCAUAGAGAGGUAGAGCCUAAUAAGUACUUGUUACAUUAGUUUUACAUUAUUAAUAUAAUGUUGCACAUACUAACAAGUGUCACAUCCUAUGCUCUUAGUUUGUUGCUCAUGCAAAUAAGAAAGCUUUGGAUAGUGUACAUUAUAUAUAUAGUUCUCCUCUAUUAUUGGAUUAUUGUCACAUGUAACUUUUAAUUAAAUAUAUAAAAAUAAGUAUCCAUGUAUUAAUGUAUAUUACACAAUCUUGCAUACUGUGAUAUGGUUGAACUUGAAUCGAAGAUAAACUUAAAACCUGAAGAAACGGUUAAUGAACUCUUAAUUAAGCAAUGAAUGCAACAGAACCAUUUUUGGCGUUUCUCUCUUUCCGUUACUCCCUAACCGCCACUCUUUGUUCUAACGUCAUCUUAAACUCCCAAGAAACAAUACACGAAAACAACAACACUAGAAACCAUUAUCAAUUUUUUUUUUCCAUUUUCACUAAUAUUCAACAAUUUUUUUUUUAACAUGCCGCAAUUUCAAUCCAAAUCUUUGUAUUCCUAGAUUAUAUUAAUUUUAUUUGAUAAUACAGUAAUUUUUUUCCCCCUCAUUUCCUCAUUUUCUUGCUCCCCUGUUUUCCUGUGCUCUGGUUUUUAUUCUUGACAUUUCCCUUAUCUUUCUCUCUCAAUUCUCACACUUUCUCUCAAUCUCCUCAAAAGGGUUUCCCUGUUCAGAUAUGAACUCCGAUACCCAGAUUUUAUUUUCUAUAUUUUUCUUUUCUCUUACGUUAAGCAACAUUGCUUGUGUUCUCAGCCAAGGCACUCAAUCAGAUUCUAAUUCUUAUGUGCUUGCAUGUGGAGCUUCAAGUGAUGGCACCGAUUCGAAUGACCGUAAAUGGACAUCAGAUUCCAAGUUUCUUACAAAUUCAGGCAACUCAAUAACGGCAACAGCGCAAUCUCAGGACUCUUCGUUGCCAUCAACGAUUCCUUAUAUGACCGCAAGAAUUUUCAAAUCCACGUCAAGCUACAAAUUCACUGUUUCAUCCAAGGAUCGUUUCUGGCUCAGGCUUCAUUUUUAUCCGGCUUCUUAUGGCAAUCUUGAUCCAUCGAAUGCUUAUUUUUCUGUCAACGCAAAUGGCUUCACUCUCCUUAACAAUUUCAGUGCCUCAAUAACAGCAAAAGCAUUAACGCAAGCAUAUAUUGUAAGAGAAUUCUCUCUUGUUCCUGCACAAUCUGGUGACCUCAUCAUAACCUUUACACCUUCUUCGGAUCAUAAAGAUUCAUAUGCUUUUGUUAAUGGGAUUGAAGUGAUUCCGAUGCCUGACAUUUUUGGGUCUGCACCUUUGGUUGGAUUUAGUGAUCAAUCUGUUGAAGUUAACAGCUCUACUUUACAGACAAUGUAUCGAUUAAAUGUUGGCGGUAAAUUCAUUCCAUCAACAAAUGAUUCAGGCCUUACCAGAACAUGGUACGAUGAUUCGCCUUACUUGUUUGGUGCUGCAUUUGGUGUCACAUCUCAAGCCGAUAACAAGACCAAGAUUGAAUAUCCUAGCAAUUUAUCACAAGAAAUUGCACCCUUGAGUGUAUACGAGACAGCAAGGUCAAUGGGUCCAGAUCCAAACGUUAAUCGGAAUUAUAAUCUGACCUGGAUUUUUCAGAUUGAUGCAAAUUUUACUUAUAUUGUCAGAUUCCAUUUCUGUGAGAUUUUGCUGACCAAGAUUAAUCAAAGAGUGUUUGAUAUUUUUAUUAACAACCAAACAGCACAAGAAGGUGCUGAUGUGAUUGGCUGGGCCGGAGAGCAAGGAGUGCCUGUGUAUAAAGAUUAUGCUAUUUAUGCUGAAGAUUUGCCCGGUGAUGAUGAAUUAUGGGUGGCAUUGCAUCCUAGUGUGUCGAUGCACCCCGAAUAUUAUGAUGCAAUCCUCAAUGGAUUGGAGAUUUUUAAGCAGAAUGAUACAAUGGGCAACUUGGCUGGUCCAAAUCCUGUGCCAUCAGCUAUGCUGCUUCAUGCUGAAGCCACAAAGAAGAAAUUUGCUCCCUCAAGCUCAAGAUCCAAAACUGUGGUCCAUGUGAUUGGUGGCGUUGCUGGAGGUGUUUUUGGUAUUGCUGUAGCAACUGCUAUUAUAUUUUAUGUCUCCAACAAGAAGAAGAAUAAUGAUGGAAGUCGGUGCUCUACGAGUUCUUGGCUGCCACUCUAUGGAACUUCCCACACAACCGGCAAAUCAACAGGAACUGGUAAAAGUACGAGUAGCCAUCUUACCAAUCUUGCAGCAGGACUUUGUCGCCAUUUUUCAUUAGCUGAAAUUAAGCAUGGUACCAGGAACUUCAGCGAGUCACAUGUUAUAGGGGUUGGAGGAUUUGGUAAAGUAUAUGAGGGCUAUAUUGAUGGAAAGACAAAGGUCGCCAUUAAAAGAUCCAACCCGUCUUCAGAACAAGGGGUACAUGAAUUCCAGACGGAAAUUGAGAUGCUUUCGAAGCUGAGACACAAGCAUUUGGUGUCUUUAAUUGGGUUUUGUGAAGAAGAUGGCGAGAUGAUUCUGGUUUAUGAUUACAUGGCCAAUGGGACAUUAAGGGAGCACCUCUACAAGGGUGAUAAACCUGGCUUGCCUUGGAAGCAAAGGUUAGAAAUAUGCAUUGGAGCUGCCAGAGGACUUCACUAUCUUCAUACUGGCGCUAGGUACACAAUCAUUCACAGAGAUGUGAAAACUACAAACAUUCUGUUAGAUGAGAAAUGGGAAGCAAAAGUUUCUGAUUUUGGACUGUCAAAAACUGGUCCUAAUCUCAAUCAAACCCAUGUUAGUACCAUGGUGAAGGGCAGCUUUGGUUACUUGGAUCCUGAAUACUUUCGGAGGCAGCAAUUGACAGAAAAAUCUGAUGUUUACUCCUUUGGAGUAGUUCUUUUUGAAGUGUUAUGUGCAAGGCCUGCACUUAACGUAAAUUUGCCUAAAGAACAAGUUAGUUUAGCAGAUUGGGCAUUACAUUGCCAAAGGAUGGGAACUAUUGAGGACAUUAUUGAUCCAAAUCUUAAGGGAAACAUCACUGAUCAGUGCUUAAGAAAGUUCACAGAGACCGCUGAGAAGUGUUUAUCCGAUCAGGGGAUCGAUCGACCUUCCAUGGGCGAUGUGUUGUGGAAUCUUGAGUUUGCACUUCAAUUGCAAGAUAAUCCUGAUGGUGAUAAAUUGAUUUCAAUUCAGACCGAUAAGGCCAAUGACACUUAUGCCAUGCAUAAAGCCAUGUUAAACAUUGAUGAAGAGAGUGUUUUGAGUGACGAGAUUGAUACCUCAAAUACUACCGAUAUAUUCUCACAGAUAGUGAAUCCAAAGGGAAGAUGAGUACAAAUGAGGCAUUUUGCCCAUUAUGCCAAUUAGACAUAGGAUGUUUAGUUAGAUUUUUUUUAGUUUGGAUUUUUAAAUACUAGUGUGCUUAUUGCUUGGGUUCACAUUGUACACUUUACAGAAUUACAAAUUGGAAAACCGAAAACAUUUGCUUAGGUUCCUGCAAAUACGGCUUUUACAGGAUUGCUUAUUGCAUGUGCGACUUUGGCUUUUUUUUUUUUAUUCUGCUUAUGGCUUUCUCAUAAAAUAUUCCUAAAAUUUCACUUGCUCGAUCUUAAAUGCUACUACUUUUUUUUUGAGAAGCUUAAAUGCUACUACCCGAAGGCUUUAGCAGUAGAUGAAUGAAGCUGACCCCUGCAUCAAUUGCACGAAGUGGAUGCUCCAGAAUUACUACUGCAAGAUGGAGAAUCAAAAGUAUAUUUGCAAUUCACUUUGAAACAUUCCAAAUUUGGCCAAUAUUGAAACCUCUUUUUUUUUUCUUUUUAGUAAUAACACGUAUUAGAAAUGUCUAAAAAACAAAAAACAAUGUAUCUAUCAUACUUACGUAAUUACAAGGCCAUAUCUAACUUAAGUACUACAAUAUUAUUGGUACUAAAAAAAAAUUACAGAAAAAUUAACACAAACCAAAAUAAAAAUGGUCCAUCUCCGGCCGGAAUUUGUUUGUUUUUCGGCCUCUGUCGCGGCGGUGUCUAAAAGCAAAGAGUCACCAAAUUUCUCGAAGAGAUCCAACAAAUAUUCAUAAAUAGAUUUUGGCUUUUUUACCUCACUAGGCAAUUUCUGUUCUCGAGCAGUGAGCCUCGAUGCUCACAUUCAACUCAUGAAUAAAGAGAUUGAAAACCCAUUUCAUACUUUCACUGCUUUUGCUUAUUUUUUCUAUGGGAAAUUUUUGUCAUUUUAUGUUACAUUAUUUCCCAUCACAUUUGCCUUACUUGACAAAUCUCUAAACUUGUCCAAGCAUCCUUAGCAAAAGAAAAAUGACCCAACAUCUACAAACCCAAAUAGAAAACAACUCAAAGCUUCCGAGUCACUCAAUCGUUCUCUUUUGGUUUUAAAAGAAAAAGGAAAAAAAGACACUGCAAUGAGAGGGCACACGAGAUGCUAAAGAAACACUGAGUUUCAGACCUUCCAUACGCCAAUCCAUGCAUACGGGAUUUAGCUUUUGACUUGACAAAUUUUGAGAAAUUUACUAAAUGAUCAAAAAUUAGAAUAAUGCACAUAAAAAAAUUAUUUUAAAUAAUAAUGGCUUUAAGUAAGAUAUUAUCCACCUUGUCAACAGAACUUAUAGGUGCAGUUAGCUGCCAUGUUAUCUAGCAGCAUUACAGUCUAAAAUUCACAAUUUUUACUACUAAAGUAAGAAAAUGGCAAACCAAAAUGUUGGGCCAUUAGUGUACUUUGGCUUCAGAGUAUUGAAAACUCAGGACUUUUUAUAGGAUGUCAAAAUAUUAAUAAUAAUGAUAAAACUCUAUUGACAUAAACUAAUUAGUAUCUUUACAAAACUCUAUUAUUAUAGGUUCAGUAGGCUAUGUACUAGCUAAGCCAUCAAAAAGCUGUUGCUGAAUCACUGCUGGUUCUUCUUCAUUGGUAUUUGAAAUUUGGGUUUGGGUUAGAACUUUGUCACCCAUCAGUCACAGUGUAACUAUUCUUAUCUGAAAUUAAGCACAGCAAAAUUUGGCUGACUUGAAAGCAAUGGGGUACAUGAACGAGUUGGAAUAAGUGAACCUGAUCACUUGACUUGGUCUUAAUGGCAUUCCUCCAUUCACCAAGCAAUCAUCAUAAGACACCCUUUUGAAAGUUCUUGGGUUCACUACUCUUGCAGAAGCAAACCAACCACAGUGAAGAUGAAUGUCUGAAGGAGCACACCCAGAAACACAAGUGUUCACAAUUUGAACUAUGUAUUGUGGGAUCCCAGAUGUUGAAUCUUUGCUUUGCGAGAUGCUUAUGUCCCUGUUUGUGCAAGAACCUGAAGAUAAAAUAUAAGUAAUUAAGAUAUUCAUAAAGAAAUCCAAUGACUUGCAAAAAAGGGUAUGAAGUGCGAAUUAGGAUGACUCUACAAUGGAAUCUUUACCAUGCACCAAAAGCUUUCUGUUGUGUGUGUAUACUUUUUUCGUAGUCCAGUGACUUUUGUCUUCAUGGAAUGAAUGCGAAAUCUUGUUUGAAAUUCCUGCAUGCCAACGCAAACAAAUAAGAUAAAAGCAAAGAGAGAUAAAUAAAUUGAAAAACCAGAGCUUCUUAGCAGUAUCUGAACCUGAAAGUUCGCCAAGAUUGCAAAAUAUAAUGAUUGUAAGCAUCAUCAACAUCAAGCAGCUGAAGAAGCAGCACAUAUGACAAGAUUUCAUGAUGGCUUUUGGGUUAAGUUUCAGAAGAAGAUGAAUAUUGUUUUGACUUUGGCAGUUUGGCCCCUUCAUGAAAACCUGUAGAAAAUUUGGGGUGAAGUGAUUCAAAUGAAGCGAGCCGUGGGUAGAGUAGAGAUUUUUGUCGGCUUAUAUAAUGCAAGACAGCAAGAGCGACUUGGAACUUGGAAGAGUUUGUAGUUGAACCAACAGCACUACAGCAGCACCAAUUUCAUUCCAACCGUCUGCAGUCCAACUCUAAUCCCAUUUCAUUACUUUUUGGCCUGCACCACGACAAUUGAAAGACAGCAGCAGCAGCCAUUUAAUGCUUAAUGGCAAGGGGUCGUUUCCAAACACUGUAGUGUUCAGGCCCAUUUCAAUUACUUUUCUUUUUCUUUUGACUUCUUCCGCUGAACUUUGGUACCCAAAUAAUUCAUUUUCCACUAUGGUCAAGAAUGAUCAAGAUCAGAUGAAUAGUUGUGCACGAGAAUGACCAAGAUAUAUUUGAGUAGUUGAUCCCGAACAAUAUUAUUAUUUUCCUGUGCAUUUGUGGCUUCUACUGAUCCUUUUACUUCGAUUACAGUUAAUAUCAAUGGAAUUAUAAGUUUUUUUAUAUCAGGAUUUUAAUAAUUUAAUUGACAGCGUAGCCAAGAAGGUGAGUAUCUUGUAACUCAUCACUUUACAUAAUGCAUGCUUGCUGUUGCAGUUCAUAUCAUAUGUAGACUGUAGUUGACAUCCCACAGCUCCAAGCCCAAAGGGAGAGAGAAGUGAAAGAAGCCACCAUGCGUUUUAACAAUAAUAAUUUGGACGGAAACAAAAUCUACCCCCAUUAGCUUCAUUCUUUUUUUAUUAGUAGAAAAUUCCAAUUUCUCUCUUUUUUCUCUAAGCAAUCUGCAUGUGUCUUCUCAAGACCCCACAACUACUGAUCCAAGCAGCGGCAUCUUGAGAAAAGAGAAAAAGUCUACGAUUCUCCUGAGCUUUUAAGAAGGGAAGCAUUAAUGGCCUCAAGCACCCAGCCUAAACUAAAGCAGAAACUCGUAGGAAAAGCUAGGCAAUAGCCUCCCACUCUUGUAGGUGCGUGCAUGCAUUUGUUUUAAUUGGUUCAUGAGGAUUAUAUUAUUUACUGAUAUUAUAGUAAGAAAUUUGUUAGGACUAGUUUUGAUCAACUCAGAUAAAAUUAUUGCAACCCAAAAAUUAUAUCUUAUAUGUUAGAGAAAUCUACUCACAGUUUGCCAAUAUCGGAGAUUGAACCUAGCCACCCAAGAUCAUAAGAGAAGAAUAAAUAGACACAAGUCUUUCAAACUUGAGUUUCAAGCUUGAUGAUAAAGAAGAAAUCUGUCCUCAUAAAGCUGUGGUGGAUUUAUUAACUUAGGUUUAUCAUUUAGAAAAAUUAACAAAGCUAAAUCAUAUGGAAAAACCUAUAUGCAAGGUACCUAAUUUUUCUCAAGCUAUAUAAGAUCCUCUCAUCUUGAUAAAAAUUUUUCUCAGGUCUUGAGAAAACUAGCAUCACCUAUUAAUUGACGAGCCAAAAUUUGGUCUACUAACUCUGAUCGUAUAAAAAAUAUACUAAAGUUGUGCACGUGCGAGAGUAAUUAGUAAAGGCUCUUGGCUCCUCAAAGACACAUGGUAAUGAAAAUGUUUAAAGUUGUCCACAUUAGCACUUGUCGCUUGUGAGUGCAGCUGAAGUAAAUAUGUGAAAGCUACUUGUCCUAAUCUCCUUCUUUAAGAAACUCACCAAAAAGACCUGAUUAUGAAAAUAAAGUGCUGAAGGACGGAGAAAUGCGCUUUUUUUGCUUCAAUUAGAAAAACAUAGCACGUUGUUAAAUGACUGACGACUUUCUCUCUGAUGCUAAAAGUUAAACCUGUCUUCAACAUGUGUACGGUUAAUUUAAUUUCUUCACUGUUUGCUUUCUGUGUAUAGGACUCACCACAUGUUGUCAUCAAGAAGGCACAGGCGAUCCAUUUGGGUUCAAAUGAACAACUAUUAAAUCCUUUAUUGUUUUGAAUACAUGGCAACCUAACCAGGGUUUCUAACUUUUCUCCAUUGGAGAAGAUUGAAGAGUUCGUCACGGAACAAGAAAGAAAAUGAAAAUCAAAUUAAUCUCCAUCGUGUAUAUUGUUUCAUUAAUUUCAUCAGAGUUAAAUCUUCAGCUAAAUUAUGGUGUCGCGUAGGCCAUUAACACAUGAUAAAUUAAUUAAGACUGUUAUCUUAUUAGGGAAAGAAUAAACGAGACUCAUCUUCAUAUAAUUUUUAAGUUCGAAGCAAAUCUCAUAUAUGUUCAAUAUAAUUAAAUUUUCGAAGUAUACUAAAAAAACCUCACAUUAUAUUUAAGAAAAAAAAAAGGAAAGGUAAUCAAAAUUGAAGUCAAAUAUCAAUUGCUGUGCAUUAAAAAAAAAAAAAGUUUGAUCAAUUGCUUGUUGGAGAAGCUUCAACUCGUGCUCCUCCCCCAUAUGGUUGAAAACAGUGAGUCACUCGUCCACUGAUGGCCAUAAGCUCGACGGCGCUUCUCUUUAUUUGAUUCUGCAGAAUGGGUGAUAAAUAAAAACUCACGUACGCAUUUGAGACCAGGGAACUGGGACUGGGCUGCUGUACCAAUCACAUGAUGCAUGAAUUAUGAUCAAAGUCACGUGGAUAGAUGUCUGGGCUCGCUUGAAAGUGAAAGCUCGAGUCCUAUCAUCAGAGUUGACUAUCUUAAACUUAAAUAUGCAAUCUGUCUUCGUUGAACCUAAACCACCUAUAAGUUAUUAUUCCCAAUGCCCCCUAUACCCCGUGACAUUCCCGUAUUCGGAUCCAGCUACCUCGCAACAAGGUACCAUCAAUUUUGUCCUUUGUGACGUUAAUUUUAUUUAAAUCUUUACUAUUUUUUAUUUAUAUUUUUUUAUAUGGUGAUUUUUUAAAAUAUAAUAUAAUUUUGUUUAAUAUUUUUUUUACUUUUUUAUCCACAGUUUAUUUCUUAAUUUAUGUGCUUUGGCUGAUGAUUUUCUAAAAUAUAAUUUUAUUUUAUUUAACAUUAUUUAGUUUUUUUAAAAGAAUAGAUAUAAUAACAAGCCUAUGACUAAAUAAUAUUAAAUAAUAUUUCUUUUUUAAUAGUAAAAAUAAUAUUAGUUUUUUAAGACUCGCUACUGAUUAUUUUAUUUUAUUAACAUUAUUUAAUUUUUUGAGAGAAUAAGCCUAUGGGGCUAUGACUAUGUAAUGUUAAAUAAAUUAAAUCAAUAAUAUUAAAUAAUAUUUCNNNNNNNNNNNNNNNNNNNNNNNNNNNNNNNNNNNNNNNNNNNNNNNNNNNNNNNNNNNNNNNNNNNNNNNNNNNNNNNNNNNNNNNNNNNNNNNNNNNNNNNNNNNNNNNNNNNNNNNNNNNNNNNNNNNNNNNNNNNNNNNNNNNNNNNNNNNNNNNNNNNNNNNNNNNNNNNNNNNNNNNNNNNNNNNNNNNNNNNNNNNNNNNNNNNNNNNNNNNNNNNNNNNNNNNNNNNNNNNNNNNNNNNNNNNNNNNNNNNNNNNNNNNNNNNNNNNNNNNNNNNNNNNNNNNNNNNNNNNNNNNNNNNNNNNNNNNNNNNNNNNNNNNNNNNNNNNNNNNNNNNNNNNNNNNNNNNNNNNNNNNNNNNNNNNNNNNNNNNNNNNNNNNNNNNNNNNNNNNNNNNNNNNNNNNNNNNNNNNNNNNNNNNNNNNNNNNNNNNNNNNNNNNNNNNNNNNNNNNNNNNNNNNNNNNNNNNNNNNNNNNNNNNNNNNNNNNNNNNNNNNNNNNNNNNNNNNNNNNNNNNNNNGAUGUACGGUACAGCAGAACAUUAAUUAAAAAAUUAUAUUUAUUUUUUAAGUCUUACUACUGAUUAUUUCAUUUUAUUUAAUAUUAUUUAGUUUUUUGAAAGAAUAAAUAUAAUAAUAAGCCUAUGAAUAAUAAUAUUAAAUAGAUAACGUUAAAUAAUAUUUAUUUUAUUAAAAUAAAUAAUAUUAAAAAUUUAUUCUUUGAAAUAAAUAUAUUAUAUUAAAAUAUUAAAAAUAAUAUUAAUUUUUUUUAUGUCUCACUUCUAAUUAAACAAUGUAAAUUUGAAACAAACUGAAAUUAUGUGUUAAAAAUUUUAAUUUUUUUUUAGUUUCAACAAAUAUCAAUGAGUAUAAUGUAAAUAAUUAAAAAGAUAAAUCUCUACGAUCGAAACUAUCUUCCGCUAAAUCCAACUGUAAAAGUUGAGUCCCCCAUAUUCACAUUCCUAUUGUAUCUCCACGAAGAUAUGGUAAAAAUUGUCUUUAAUCUAUUUGUUGUGUCUGCCUAAGUAAAAAAAAAAAAAAAGAGUAAAAGAGCCAUGGGUCCGGUGGAUCGCCUAGUUGUAAAUUAUGUUUAAUGUAAUUCAAGGAGACUUUUAUUUGUGGAUAAUAUUAAGUUUCGUAUUUAUUUUUCAUUUUAUUUAUAAUUAAGUAAAAUUUUUCUCUAAAUUAUGAAGAAAAUGAAUAAUAAGAAAAGAAAGAAAAUAAAGAGAAGAUCGUAAUCCAUAUUUGUUUGAUUGUUUCGAUAAUUAUUCCAGACAAAAUUCAAGUGUUUUUAUCGCUAUGUUUAUUUGGGUUUCUUAGAAUUUUUUUUUUUUUAACGUUAUUAACUAAACUUUCUUUUUCACGAGGAAACUACUCUCUGUACAAUUUUCUUCCUUUAAAUCUUGAUUAUAAUAUUUCUUUCCCCAAAAUAUCUUCAUCUUGAUUUGAAUGUCAGCAUCCCACGUGGCAUGUCACGUGCAAGUCGAGACAUCGUAUACUUGUUCACUGCAGAUGUAAAUGACUUGUGCUGCUUGCCAGGACCGGCAGCAACACAAAUGGAUUUUCAGAUACCGAUGAUACGCAUGCACAACCAUGUACCCGAGCCAGGGACAGGACCGGAACUACUUUAAACUGUCGCAAAUACCGACAGCUGCUCGUACGAUGCCCACAAGCUACAAAGUAUGGUCUAUUACUAAUAAAAAGACCAAAAUGCCCCGUCAAAUUAUGCAUAAAUCUUCAAAACUUAUUGGCCUUUUAGGGAAGCAUGGGUGGUUCUGUUUCAGUCAACCACAGUGUUUACCAAAUUGUUAGAACUGGAAGGAGCAUCUUUAUCACUGGAAACAGAAGAAGAAGGAAGAAUUGGCGAGUAGUAAAUAAAUGCUCCCGGCGGCGUCAGGAUGCGUGGCUUAUGCGCUUGGGGUUCACAAAUAGCCGACAGCACGAGCAUGUGACUCGAUACAGAGGCGAUGUUUGGGUCCUGAACCGAAAGUUAACCCUGUGCAGCAUCUGUUGGGUUCGUAAAGUUAGAAGCUGGGGUGAGAGUCUAUCUUUAAGAUUAAAAAAUUGAUGGAUGCUGUGGUAAAGAAUUGGUGUUAACAAAUUAAAUUAAAUAAGAAGAAUGAUUAUAGCGCAGUCCUCGUUAAUUUAGGCAUAGCGCAGUCCUCGUUAAUUUAGGCACCUUAUAGCGCAGUCCUCGUUAAUUUAGGCACCUUUUUUUUUUUUUUGAAAUUUUACAAUCUAUCUAUAUAUUUUGAAAACCAAAUGCGCUAUUACUUUCAUUAAUAAUAUUGGAUUAAAAUAUUUUUGCUCAAUGAGUAGGAUUAAAUCAUGCGCGCAAAUUUGUUUUGAAAGCCUGUUUAAAAUAAUUAAACCAACAAAUUGUCUUUGGUUUUUAAUCUACUGAUUAGUACGUAAGAUUAUUGCUGAUUAAUUAUUGGACCAGCAAAAGUCAAUGGCAAAAUUAAUAAGAUAUUAAUUGCUAUGAGAUCACUUAUUUUUUUUUAUUGCAAUCUAACUAUUUCAUGUCUGUGUAACUAAUAUUACUUUUUCUUUUUUAAAAAUAAAUAAAUAAAUACAUACAGGUGAUUUAUUCCAACAAUGUCAUUAUGUAACGAUUGUAAUAUUACUGACUCCGUUGACAUCAAUUUUGGACCAUUGCUCAAUUUUUUUAAUUUUGCACACAUCAAUUUGCUAAAUAAAACUUCUCAAUAAGCAUUUGCUUUGCUAACCUAAUCGGUUAUCAUCAUUAUGUCUUCAACCCUUCUCUUCAUCAUCAGCAUCCUCUGCACACCCAUCACUACUACAAAAAUGUAAAACAAUGACACAUACAUUAUGACGGUUUAUUUAUAUUUAUUUUUUAGGACUCACUACUAAUUAUUUCCUUGUAUUUAAUAUUUUUAGUUUUUGAAAGAAUAAAUAUAAUAAUAAAAUAUGACUAGAUAAUAUUAAAAAAAUAAUAUUUAUUUUUAAUAAAAAAUAAAUAAUAUUAAAAUUUAUCCUUUUGAAUAAAAUCAAUAACAUUAAUUAAAAAAUUAUAUUUAUUUUUUAAGUCUUACUACUGAUUAUUUCAUUUUAUUUAAUAUUAUUUAGUUUUUUGAAAGAAUAAAUAUAAUAAUAAGCCUAUGAAUAAUAAUAUUAAAUAGAUAACGUUAAAUAAUAUUUAUUUUAUUAAAAUAAAUAAUAUUAAAAAUUUAUUCUUUGAAAUAAAUAUAUUAUAUUAAAAUAUUAAAAAUAAUAUUAAUUUUUUUUAUGUCUCACUUCUAAUUAAACAAUGUAAAUUUGAAACAAACUGAAAUUAUGUGUUAAAAAUUUUAAUUUUUUUUUAGUUUCAACAAAUAUCAAUGAGUAUAAUGUAAAUAAUUAAAAAGAUAAAUCUCUACGAUCGAAACUAUCUUCCGCUAAAUCCAACUGUAAAAGUUGAGUCCCCCAUAUUCACAUUCCUAUUGUAUCUCCACGAAGAUAUGGUAAAAAUUGUCUUUAAUCUAUUUGUUGUGUCUGCCUAAGUAAAAAAAAAAAAAAAGAGUAAAAGAGCCAUGGGUCCGGUGGAUCGCCUAGUUGUAAAUUAUGUUUAAUGUAAUUCAAGGAGACUUUUAUUUGUGGAUAAUAUUAAGUUUCGUAUUUAUUUUUCAUUUUAUUUAUAAUUAAGUAAAAUUUUUCUCUAAAUUAUGAAGAAAAUGAAUAAUAAGAAAAGAAAGAAAAUAAAGAGAAGAUCGUAAUCCAUAUUUGUUUGAUUGUUUCGAUAAUUAUUCCAGACAAAAUUCAAGUGUUUUUAUCGCUAUGUUUAUUUGGGUUUCUUAGAAUUUUUUUUUUUUUAACGUUAUUAACUAAACUUUCUUUUUCACGAGGAAACUACUCUCUGUACAAUUUUCUUCCUUUAAAUCUUGAUUAUAAUAUUUCUUUCCCCAAAAUAUCUUCAUCUUGAUUUGAAUGUCAGCAUCCCACGUGGCAUGUCACGUGCAAGUCGAGACAUCGUAUACUUGUUCACUGCAGAUGUAAAUGACUUGUGCUGCUUGCCAGGACCGGCAGCAACACAAAUGGAUUUUCAGAUACCGAUGAUACGCAUGCACAACCAUGUACCCGAGCCAGGGACAGGACCGGAACUACUUUAAACUGUCGCAAAUACCGACAGCUGCUCGUACGAUGCCCACAAGCUACAAAGUAUGGUCUAUUACUAAUAAAAAGACCAAAAUGCCCCGUCAAAUUAUGCAUAAAUCUUCAAAACUUAUUGGCCUUUUAGGGAAGCAUGGGUGGUUCUGUUUCAGUCAACCACAGUGUUUACCAAAUUGUUAGAACUGGAAGGAGCAUCUUUAUCACUGGAAACAGAAGAAGAAGGAAGAAUUGGCGAGUAGUAAAUAAAUGCUCCCGGCGGCGUCAGGAUGCGUGGCUUAUGCGCUUGGGGUUCACAAAUAGCCGACAGCACGAGCAUGUGACUCGAUACAGAGGCGAUGUUUGGGUCCUGAACCGAAAGUUAACCCUGUGCAGCAUCUGUUGGGUUCGUAAAGUUAGAAGCUGGGGUGAGAGUCUAUCUUUAAGAUUAAAAAAUUGAUGGAUGCUGUGGUAAAGAAUUGGUGUUAACAAAUUAAAUUAAAUAAGAAGAAUGAUUAUAGCGCAGUCCUCGUUAAUUUAGGCACCUUUUUUUUUUUUUUGAAAUUUUACAAUCUAUCUAUAUAUUUUGAAAACCAAAUGCGCUAUUACUUUCAUUAAUAAUAUUGGAUUAAAAUAUUUUUGCUCAAUGAGUAGGAUUAAAUCAUGCGCGCAAAUUUGUUUUGAAAGCCUGUUUAAAAUAAUUAAACCAACAAAUUGUCUUUGGUUUUUAAUCUACUGAUUAGUACGUAAGAUUAUUGCUGAUUAAUUAUUGGACCAGCAAAAGUCAAUGGCAAAAUUAAUAAGAUAUUAAUUGCUAUGAGAUCACUUAUUUUUUUUUAUUGCAAUCUAACUAUUUCAUGUCUGUGUAACUAAUAUUACUUUUUCUUUUUUAAAAAUAAAUAAAUAAAUACAUACAGGUGAUUUAUUCCAACAAUGUCAUUAUGUAACGAUUGUAAUAUUACUGACUCCGUUGACAUCAAUUUUGGACCAUUGCUCAAUUUUUUUAAUUUUGCACACAUCAAUUUGCUAAAUAAAACUUCUCAAUAAGCAUUUGCUUUGCUAACCUAAUCGGUUAUCAUCAUUAUGUCUUCAACCCUUCUCUUCAUCAUCAGCAUCCUCUGCACACCCAUCACUACUACAAAAAUGUAAAACAAUGACACAUACAUUAUGACGGUUUAUUUAAAAAACCGUCAUUAAAAAUAUUUAAUGACGGUUAUUAUAUGAACGGUCAUAAUAUGUACUAUUUAUAAUGACGGUUCUAUUAUAAAACCGUCAUUAAAUAUUAUGCCAAACUAUAAUUUUAUUUUUAAUGACGGUUACUUGUAAAAACAGUCAUUAUAAAUUUUAAAUUUUUAAUGACGGUUCUAUUAUAUAACCGUCAUUAAAUAUCAAGUUAUUAUUUUUAAUGACAGUUUAUAAAAAUAAACCGUCAUUAAAAAUCUUUACAUAUUAAAUUAUUAUUUUUUAUGACGGUUCUACUAUAUAACUGUCAUUAAAUAUAAAGUCAUUAUUUUUAAUGACGGUUUUUUUUAAAAAACCGUCAUUAAAAAUCACUAAUGACGGUUACAUAUAUAAACUGUCAUUAACUAUAAAAUGUUAUUUUUAAUGACGGUUUUGUUUAAAAACCGUCAUUAAAAAGCCACAAUAUUUUUAAUGACGGUGUUUAAUAACCGUCAUCGAAUAGAAAGAAUCAUUUUUAAUACAUUUCAUGACCGUUUUAUAAUAACCGUCGUUAUAUGUUAUUUGCCUUAAAAAUUUUUUAAAAAAAAGCCGAUAAAAGGAAUAAAGGAAACGCGCAAUCCCUAACCACUCACAUUCGUUGUCUUCUUCUUCAAUUUUCACGAAUUACAAUCACAACGACUCACUCAGUCACACACACCAGCCCUAACCCUACCAAAGCUAUCAAACGCCAAUGCCGCUGCCGCUGUCAAAUCGAUUCAAGUGCUCCGGCGCUGAGUCUAGCCGUCCUUGAGCCGAUUUGCUUCCUUUUUCUGCCGCCGCUGUCAAUCUCUGCCAUUUUUGAGCCGAUUCACUUCCGCAAAACAGCUGCUGUCAUCUCUGCCGACAUUGCCUCUGUGUUCGUUCACCGUCAGAUGCAGUGUUAUUGUGGUGACACUGCCUCCGCUAUCAAGUCAGUUCAAAUUUUCUGGGUGCUAUCUCGAAAAUGUUGGUGAGAUUGUUGCCAAUGAUAUUCUAAAAUUUUGAAUUCAGGGUUAUUGUUUCACCACUGUGAGUUGCUUUCUCCAAUUUUGCAAUUCUUUCCUCUUAAUUUGCUUUGAAAUAUUUGCUCGUUGGAUUUAUUUCCUCUUCAUUUAUAAUCGAUUUGGUGAUUUUGUGUUGUGUAGCUUGUACCUUAGUCUCUCCUUUUCCUUUCAUAAUAUUAUAAAAUAUGUCGUGCACUUUGGCCUUUCGUUUCUUGAUUUUCUUGGUUAAUGAAUUUGGAAAAAGAGUGAAUUAUGGGUAAGGGGAUAGAAAAUCACAUUGACAGAAAAGAGGACUGAAACGCCUUGAUUUUUACUAAGUGGAGUUUACUUAUUUGUUAAAAAAAUAAAUUUUAAAUUAUUAAUGAUUUAAUUGUCUUAUGCUUAUUAUAUUGUUCGUAAAAUUUUUGUUACAAGUCCAGCCCAUGAACCUCUUUAUGUUUUAGCAUUUCUUUAUUUAUUUACGAAACGAAAACCAGCGUUCGAAUUCAAAAGGAACAAAACAGAAAAAGGAAGAAAGGAAACAAGAGGAUAACAGGACGUGAGAGAGGAGAAGAGGGAGAAAGAAGAGAAAGACAAGAGAGGCUAGGUGAAGGAUUUGGAUUUAAAGAGAGAGAAUUCAAUUUCAGAGGAAAAUAUUAAAUAUCUGGCUUUUUAAAUUUGUAAGCCUUAUUCAAUUUCAGAGCAAAAUAUUAAAUAUCUGGCUUUUUAAAUUUGUAAGCCUUCUUUCUCAGUUCACUUUAUUCUUUUAUUUUUCUUCAAAAUUCUUGUUUAAAUUGGCAUGCUUGUUGAUGUUGUUAAGUCAUUUCUAAAUUAACUUGCAUAAAGUCGCAAACGCAAAAGAGUUAACGUCUCUGACACGGUAUGUAUUCUUCCUUUUCUUCGUCAGUAUUUGGUUAGUGAAACUAUGGAAAGAAAUUUUGAGAGAAAAAAUUUCCACUUUUCUAACUACAUUUAUUAUUAUAUUGCUGCUGUAGAUCGGAAGGGGUAAUCUUUUUACAGAUAUGCGGUAUUACUGGCCAGGUCUCACUAAGACGGAUUUAAACCUUUGGGAAGAUCAGUGGUUCGCCCACGGUAGCGAUUCUCCAUUAGUCCCCCUUGAUUAUUUUCAGAGGACUAUCCAACUGAGGAAGCUUGUGGAUCUUGUCAAAGCACUGGGAGAUGUAGGCAUAGUGCCCAGGUAUAAGGGAUUUACUCAUCACAAAUCAACUUACAGACAAGGGAUAAUGAAAAUAACCGGUCAUAACAAUACCAUACUAAAGUGCUAUUCUUCUAAACGUGGUCAUCUAUUAUCGGAAGUGAUGUUAUGCGCCGAUGCUGACGCAAGAAAUUUCAUUGAUUGCAAUCCUGAAGAGUUCCAACAACAAAACUGUGGGCCGCUGCUGUACCGUACAUCCGCCUUGGCCGUACAGCAGUAAGGAUUCAGUUUCUGAAGGGCAAGCUUGCUGGCUGGGUAUAAAUGUUCCAAGUGCCAAUCCCACCUUAUGUAAGCACAAAAUAUAGUCUCCAUUUCCUUUUUGGAUUAUAUUUGUUUGUAUAGUUAUAUGAUACUGGAUUUUAAUUUAAGAAUUUGUGCAGUACAUUUUUUUACUGUUAGGAGUUAGUUUGAUCAAGGUUAUUUAAGUACUAAACUGUUAUAAUUGAGCUUGUAUGCAUUUAAGUUCUUUAUAUGUAAAUGACAAUUAUAUCAAUGUGUAAUGUAAAUUGAAAUUUGCCAAUGUGGCUUCAAUUGUACAGUUUAGAAUGUGAAAAUAACUAUCUAAAUUUUAAUUUAAAAAAACAAUUGAAGUAUAG
RNAcentral lists this long non-coding RNA (47606 nucleotides) under Citrus sinensis (sweet orange). RNAcentral's name for it is "long non-coding RNA (CSIN_LNC003711)". The stretch from base 27023 to 27218 matches the Rfam family "U2 spliceosomal RNA". Lineage: Eukaryota; Viridiplantae; Streptophyta; Magnoliopsida; Sapindales; Rutaceae. The record is from RNAcentral.